This 53956-nucleotide long non-coding RNA is filed under the name Citrus x clementina. RNAcentral describes it as "Citrus clementina (C. clementina) long non-coding RNA (CCLE_LNC005749)". Lineage: Eukaryota; Viridiplantae; Streptophyta; Magnoliopsida; Sapindales; Rutaceae. The record is from RNAcentral.
CUGAAGCCGGUGGUUUGAGUGAAGACUUGAGGUUUAAAACUCUAAGAGACCAUCCAAGAGAAAUGAAUAGUUCGGGUUUGGAAGGAAGUCUGUCUUAUUAUUCAUCGUCAGCCAGCUUCUUGCCUGGUUCUUCCUCUACCGAUGAUGUCCGUGAAAUUAACGCAGAGGCAUAUUUGAAGUUUAAGGCCAUGAGAGACAGUCAUAUUCAUAUGGAAAGACAAAGAUCGGUUGCCCAAGUAUCAACACCAGUCCCCUCAUGGACUGGCUCUUCAAAAUCUGCCCAUGAUCUUCACAACACAAUUUGAGUCCAGCGGAUGUGCAAAAUCAUCCGCAAGCUAGUUUCAAGUUUCAACAUUCAACUUUUUUGUAACCUACGUCUAUGUGUCAUACCUUCUCGCAUCAUCUUUGUAUCUAAAAUUUUCAGCGACUCAACCUCGGAAACAAGCGAGUCAACAACUCGUUCUUCGUUCUCAGUAGUCACCGUCGACUCCUCGGGGUUUUUAAUUAAAUACCCUUUAAUAGUUUUAAAAUUAUUUAAAUACCCCCUCCCUUUUUGGUUUUCAUGGAUACCCUAACAAAUGUGAGCAAAGUCGGAAAUACCCUUAAUGAAUGCAUCAAAUGCACUCAAUGAAUUGUCUUCAUAUUUCUUUCCUCAUUUCUUUCACUUAAAUCUAUUUUUGCUGCCGAUUCUUUCAAAAUCUCUUAGAAUCUCUCAAAAUCUCUCAUAACUUCUUACACAAAUACAAUUAUGUAUUCAUUUCUUUAACACCCACUCUUUCUUUAAAGGUGCAUUGCUUAUUAAACAACCCAAUAAGGUAUGUUAAUGUUGUUGGGUUUUAAAUUUUUUAAUUUUUAGGAAAAUUUAGAAAUUUUCCUCACAUUACAAUAUUUUAUUUUCACCAUUUUUUCUUAUACGUAGAAAUAUAUGCAAUGUAGGUUGUUUAAUUAUAUUUUUCAGCAAUAUAACUUAUUUAUGGCGAAAAUAUUUCGAGUCGUGCAUUCUUUUGAUACCGUGUACGUCAUAUAGUUAGUCGUGUAAGUAAUAUAGUCGUGUAAGUCGUGUAGGUCAUGUAAGAAAUAUAGUCGUGUAGGUCAUGUAAGAAAUAUAGUCGUGUAAGUCGUGUAGGUCAUGUAGGUCGUGUAGUUACUUGUAUAUGAAAUUUAAUAUUAUUGUUUUUAUUGUAUUAUCAGAUAUGGUUUUGGUACGCGUGUCUAUUCUCUUCAAUGGUGAAUGAAUUAAACAAAAUGACGAGUAUAAGUUCAAAAGUUCAAAGGCUAAAGGGAUAAUGAUACCACGAUCGACAACAUAUGCCGCAUUGGUGGAGAAGAUAGCUGAAGUUAUUGAUAUAGAUACUUCGGAAUUCAAAAUCACAAUGAAGUUCAAACUUAAGACAUCUGAUCCUAUGCCACCAGUUACAAUUCAAACCAAUGAUAAUUUGGAAUUUUUUUAAAUUCCAAUUUAAUUUCACUUCUUUUUUUAAUAAUUUUCAUUGACAUUUUCUGCAUAGCAGCAAAUAUAAAUUCUUAGCACAAAUUAAGUCUUUAAAGAACUAAAUUAAUCUAAUGAUUAAUGGAAAAUUCGUGUAAUUUUAAAGUCGCAAUUAAACAUAUUACAGCCAUUUAAAAAGUUUUUUUCUUUUUUUUUUUUUAUCUUCAAAGUGCUUUCUUCCUCUGGCCAAGCAUACAAGCAUACAUGAGGAAUGCUUGCAUAUAAUUAAUCCAUGAAAUCAAUUAAGAAAAAAAAUAUCAGCUAUAGGAAAUUAAUGUAAUGUUAUACACAUAAAAACACCAUUCGCAGUGAUAAAAUAUUUUCACUCAUAACUAGACAUAUCAUGACUUACCAUGACUUAUAAUUGGAAAUUAAGAAUCUCUCUAACUAAUGACAUUUCACAAGGUAAAGGUAUAUGUACAAUUCCAAUUUAUUGUGAGCCUAAUUAAACUAAAUGUAAUAUGCAGAUUCUAUUGACAAGAAACAAAAUGUGGAAUUGAAGGUCGUGUAAUUGUGUAAUACAAGAAGAUCGUAUAAUUGUAUAAUACAUGAAGGUCGUAUAAACAUGCAAUACAUGAAGGUCGUGUAAACGUGUAAUACAUGAAGGUCGUGUAAUCGUGCAAUACAUGAAGGUCGUGUAAUCGUGCAAUACAUGAAGGUCGUGUAAAACACAACCUUGAAUCUUACAUAACCUUACACGACCAAAUCUUAUAUUACAUAACAAAAUUAUAAUCAGCACAAUCCAUUAAUUUUUCACAAUUUGCAUGCAGCAAAACAACUAGAAAUUUGUUUUCGAACAUGUUAUGAGAGACCCACAACUAAUUAAUCUAUUUUUUCAAUAUAAAACCCUAACUUUUUAUUUUUUUCCCUUGAAUAGUAACAAGAAAACUAAUUACAUGGAAUUACUUGUCUCAACUAGUUACAUUCUGACAAUUUUGCAGUAAAUGAUCAACUCUCUCCGGCGAUUAUGUAGUGACGAACUAUGCUUCACUUUCUCAGUUGUGGCAGCUUCUCCUUCUCAGGCUUAGUUUGCUCGUGUUGAAGUUCGAUUUACCAUAUAUGGAGAAUGAAUGUUUGUUUCAGUAGAGGUGAUGUCAGUGAGGGAAUUGCAGUGUUUGUUUGUUUGAGUUUGAUAAUUGAGGGAAUUGCAGCAGAUGAGUAUUUGUUUGCUUCAGUAGAGAAGGGAGAGGUGCUGUCCGUUGAGUUGAAAUGUUUUAAAAUGAGGAUAACUUAGUAAUUUCCUAUCCGUUUUGAAAGGGUAUCGAUGAAAAUUUCGGCAAAAAUAGAUUUUAGGGUAUUGAGAUAAUUUUUGAAGUAUGGAGGUGUACCGGGCGCAAUUGGCUCCGACUCCUCCUCCUUCUCUUCGCUAACACCACUUCCGAGAUGGACUGAGUCAACUCGGUCCUUGAUGAUGGCCUCAGAUUUUAUCAAAUUAGUUUCUUUUUCUCUCUGAUUUCGAGAAAGUUUGUACCUUGUCUCUCCGGAGUUAUUAAUAUCAGUUCGGCGGUUGGGGAUAGAACGGCAUCGUAGAGUGGAGGUGGUUUCUUUGUAUUCUGACGUGGAUUGAUCUGAUUGGUCGGCGGGAAUGCAGUCGUAAGAGGGAAAAUCGUCGAGCGUAUCAAAGAAUUCGUCGUCCUCAUCGUUGGUUUUAUUCCGUUCGUCCAUUCAGCAACCAGAGACUGGGGUUUCAGUUUCCGGUUAUCGCUUAUCAGGAUCGAAUUUGCUUGCAAUUCACCGUGUUUGCAGCCUUCGUGUCAUCAUUUUUUUUUUGGUUCGGUUAAUAACAUUUGCAUCCCUAAUUUUUAACCAUUUCUCAUGAAUAUAUAUAUUUUUUCUUUUUAGCUCAAAAUGUCGUAUAUUCUUUCUAACACAUUAAACUUUUUUCUUUUCAAUUUUUUUUAAAUAACCUUUGCAAUAUUCAACUUUACCAUUAGUAAUUGUUUGUGACUUAGGGGCCUUAUGCUUCUUUUGAUUUGCUGACUUAAUUAACUUAAUUUUAAUCAAUUAAGGUAUUAAGUCUUUUUAUUUUUAAUUUAAUGAAAAUUUUUAAGUCAAUUCUUUUUUACUUUUUACUUAAUCUAAAGACUAAAAAGUCUGGAUAUUAUCAUUAAAAGAUAUUCUCCAAAAUAUUUCUAUUUAAUUUAUUAAUUUUUAUCUUUACCUAAAUUAAAUUUUAAUAAUUAACAUUAUUACACGUUUCUAUAACUUGUGAUAAUAUAAUGGUAGACUAUUAUUGUUUUUAUCUUUUUAUUUUCUUCUAGUUAGCAUUAUUUUUCUUCAUAAUUUUUAUGAAUAUUUUUCAUAUAAAAACAUCAUAAACUAUAAUGAUGUAUACUAAUUUAGAAUAUUAAUUUAUAAGUGCACAAAUGUAAAAAAUACUUGUUUUUAGAUUUUUUAAGUUAAAAAAAUAACUUAAUAUUUUUUUUAGAGAUUCGAACAAAAAAUAAAUAUAUUAUUAGAUUCAAACAUUCAGCUUUAUUAAGAUUCAGACUAAUUCAAGUUUAUUCAAUUUUUUUAGAUAAAAAAAUAAACACCACCUUAGGCUUUAAGUAUACUUUUAUUAUUUUAAUAAGAGUUUAGAUAAUCAGGCAUGUAAUACAAUAAGAACUCAUAUGACCUAUAAUGUGUGUAUAUAUAUAAUCAUUCUCUAAUGAGGCAUCCUUAUUUUGAUAAAGUGAGGAUGUGACUAAUAAAUAAAAUAUAAAUUUCAAUAUACUAAGAGAUAAAAAAAUAUAGAUUUUAAUAAAUUAGAAAUUAUAUUUUUUAUAUUUUAGUGACAUUUUUAUUUUAACAAAAUGAGAAUAUCCUUAUUAAAGAGUAUUUAUAUAUAUAUAUAGAGAGAGAGAGAGAGAGAGAGAGAGAGAGAGAGAGAGAGAAAAUUGUAAGGGAGAGAAGAUUUAUGAACGAAAUAUUCUAGUUGCACUAUAAAAUAAAUAAAUAAAUAAUAUAUAUAUAUAUAUAUAUAUCUAAAAUCUACCAUCCUAAUAGAUUUCAAGUUGUAAUAAAUCCGAAAUUGUAAUCGUUGAAAAGAAAAAUGGUUUGGGACCUUUUUAAUACAAACGGAGAACCAAUAUCCUUUUCCGUGAGAUUUGAGAAACAAGAAUAGCAAACAAGAAAUCAGCUUAUUGUCAUUAUCUGGCUACGCACGAUAUAGGAUCCGGCGGGAAUCGCCAAUCGCCCAUCAUAUACAUACAUUUGUUUUGCAAAUGUAUCUUUCAUCAUUGAAACUAAAUAGUGAAUAAUUAUUUUCUUUCUUUAAUGGGAAAAAGAAAGAAGAGAAAGUUCUUUGCAUGAACAUAAAAAUCUCCAAGUCCACUAAGAAAUGUACUUACAAAAAUAAAAGUCUACUGAGAAAUGUAAAACCAAAAAUUUAUCUUCAAACUAGAGAAAAUUUUUCAAACAACCAAUAGUUAAUGCGCGUAUUUUGUGAAAGAUAGCCAAUGGGAAUGGGAGGUAACGUAAUCAAAUAAUUUAUUGAUUUAUUCAAGUCAUCAAUAUCAAAGUGAGACAUCCAUUUCCAAUUGGAAGAAAAAAAACCAUAUUUUAAUUGCCAAACCGGCGUGGAUUUCUCUCUCUCUCUUUAAGGUCCAAUUAACACACUAAUUAAGUUCAGAUUGUAUAUGGACAUCUGUGACUAAUUGGUUAAUUGAUUCAUUAAACUAUAUCUCUAUAAUCUUUUCUAUCCAUAUUCCAUUCUAAUGUUGCAAUGACAUAUAUAUAAAUAUAUAUAUAUAUAUUGUGUGUGUAUAAGGAAAUUUAAUUAAUUUCGUAACACAUGCAUUAUUGCAUUAAAAUAAUAGUCACUGUUGCCUCAAUUUCGAUGGUCAAAAGCAAAAUAUUUAAAGCAGAAUCCUACAGUUUGACCAUGCAAAAAACCAAUGAAAAUUCAAAUAUCGGGGGUUCCUAUACUAAUAGUUGCGAAUGGGACCAACAAUUCAUAUCUUUCAUUAACCUGUAAGGUGGAAAAAUCCAUAUCGGCGAUUAAUUAAUCAGACAUGCUGCGGAUGAGGUUUAAUGAGAAUCUUAGCAUUGGCAGGAAGUCAACCAUGUGCCGAGACAAUAUUUUUAUUAAAAUAAUGCACUUGGCUUGGAUACAAUUCAGAAUAUGACAAAAACAAAUCUAACUUUAGUUUGACUGGUACUGCAUUCUAAAAUCGUACCAGGACGAAAGACAAAAUCACAUUAGAAGGGUAGUUGGAAUUUUCUUAAUCGAGCUAUUUGCUUGGAAGAUUCAUCAUCCCUGCAUUUAGCAAAUAUAAAAGAAUCGCAAGAUUAUUAAAACAACGUAGUAAUAACAGCUCAUCAGAAGAUCCGUACGGUACAACAAGGAAACAGGGUAGAAUUGAAAGAUAGCUCAUAGCUCAUACCUCACGGCUAGCUUUUCUGGGUCUUCAAAGAUGUCCUUCUUGAAGCUUGACCUGCUCCUUGUCUCAAUUCUGUCUGUAAGCUGCUUAUGGACACAAGUACUUGUUUCUGCUACUCUGCCUCGAGCUGAAGGUUCGGCUGAUAAAAUUUUCUUUUUAUUUUCAAUAUCCCCUUCUUCAUGAUAUCUUGUAACCAGUUGUAGCUUAUGUUUCAUUUCUCUCUCUCUCUCUCUCUCUCUCUCUCUCUCUCUCGGUAUUAGUAGUGUAUUAUUCUCAGAAAUAAAGAAUAAAACAUUGUUAAGAGCCUAAGAUGAUAAUUGAAUUGAGGAUCAGCGAUCUUACAAUGGUCAGAUUAGUGACAUUCAUAAUAUUAUUAAAAAAAUUAAAAAUAGAACUUCAAAAUUUGGUGACUGGUCGAAUUCAGAACUGUUAUUUUCACCAAGUUCUGAUGUUUAAUUGAGAGAUGCUUCUUUGUGCAUGUAGUUGAUGCGCUCAAUCAAAUUGCCAAAACAAUGGGAGCUAGGGACUGGACGUUUGAUGCUAAUGCUUGUGACCUGAAUGAGACACCAAUAGUGCUGGAAGAAGGUCCCACCAGGAUCAUUACUUGCAACCUUGGAAUCGAUAAUACAAGCCACAUUACUGAAAUGUAGGUUCUUUUUUUGUCAUUUUAUAAAAUUUGAACCGGCAUAUUUUUAUUUUUCAGUUUUGUGUUUAGGUUGAUGUGAAGGACCAAUUUUGGGUAUCUUUUGUUUUCCAUUUUCAGACAAUUCAAACGUUGCAACCUUUCUGGAACACUUCCACGAGAAUUGGUCCAGCUUCCUUCCAUCCAGAAAGUGUGAGUUGAAUAGUCUCUAAUCUAAUGCAUUGGGAGAUUAAACUUAUAAAUAAAUUAAUCAUUUUUGUUAAUUUGCAGUGAUUUUGCCUACAACUACCUAAAUGGUUCCAUACCAGUCGAAUGGGCUUUGUUGCAGUUGAAGUUCAUGUAAGCUAUAUCUAAUUCUCUCUAAUCAGGUUAAGCAGUUAGCAUUCUACUUGUUUCAUAGAGUUAAUUGAUCGUCAAUAAUCUUAAUGCAGCUCUGUUUUUGGAAACCGGUUAUCAGGCAAUAUUCCAAGCCAUUUGGCGAACAUUACCAGUCUCACGUACUUGUAAGCUAUCAAUUCUUGGUUUAUGCAAACAUAUUUAGGCCACUGAUGUAAAUGAUAACUAAUUUAUUCCCUUUGUAAUCUGAAUGGGUCUAAUUUGCCAGGGACAUUGAAGCAAACCAAUUCUCGGGAACCGUACCUGAGGAGUUCAGGAAAUUAGUAAACUUGGAAACUCUGUAAGGCAUUGUCAAGCUUUUUUGUGGCUGAUAUUUGUUCAUGAUCAAUGUAAUCAUUUGGACCAUAAAUUGUCAUGGUUACAGGAGACUGUCCUCCAAUCAGUUGAGUGGAAGUUUGCCGACGGGACUAGCUGAGCUAAAAAAUUUAACUAACUUGUAAGCCUUCUUGAUUAGUGUCAGAUCAUGCUCAAAAUUUAUCAGAGGUAUAAGCUGUACUCAUUCUCAUUGCACAUUGCAGUAGGAUCAGCGACAACAACUUCAAUGGGAGUAUACCAGAAUUUAUACAAAACUGGAAGCAACUUGAGAGACUGUACGAUCAUCUACAUUACAAAGAUUUCUCAUCUUACAUUCUGGUUCUUGAUUGUUCUUGAUUUGUUAAUUUGAGUUGAUGCAGAGAAAUGCAAGGUAGUGGAUUCGAUGGACCCAUUCCGUCAUCCAUCUCUGUCUUGGAAAAUCUGAAACAAUUGUGAGUAAAUAUUUCUCUACUUGUCAAUUACAAUAAUCAGAAUGAUUUAAUACAUCAAUUUAUAUGAUUAAUUUAUUAUAUUUAACGAUACUAAAAGGAUCUGUUAAUUAUGGCACUCUAACAGGAGGAUUAGUGACAUAGCUGGAACAAAUCAUCUUUUUCCGGAUCUUAGAAAAAUGGCAGGCAUUAAAAGGAUGUAUGCUCAUUGGCUAUUUUCUAUCAUUUUGAUGGAGUAUGAUUAUUCGCCUUAUAAUUAUCUUACAGGAUUAAUGUUGGAUUUUCAGAAUUUUGAGAAACUGUGGUAUUUCUGGGGAGUUUCCUGAAUAUAUCUGGCGAAUGAAUAAUCUGCGAAUUUUGUAAGUAUGCUACAUUCUUUGUUUUCUAAUGCAGAAAUUAAAUACUUGAAAAUGAAAGCAAAAUUCCGGGUUUACAUUCAUGAAAAGUAACACCAACUAGUAAUGUAGUAUUCUUCUAUACCUUGCAGCUGCCAUAGCAGCAAUAGAGUUGAAGCAUCAGCACUUACAGGCCAGUUAAUGUAUUUACAUGGAUAAUCAUUAUCUUUUGAAUUUGGUUUGGACAGGGAUCUCAGUUUUAAUAGGCUAACCGGGAAAAUUCCCAAUGUUGCAACUCCACCGAGUUUGAAAUUCAUGUAAGUUAAUGAAAUCAACUGUCUGGAUUUACAAUGUUAAUUAUGUGAUGUCCAACUCAUUAACCACCUGAUACGGCCUUGGUCAGCUUUCUAACUGGCAACUUUCUCAGCGGGAACAUACCAGCGUCGAUCUUGAGGAAAGGAACUAAUGUGUGUGUAUCUUAUCACCUGGAUGCCUUGAGUUUUACUUAUUUUAGUGAUUUAUGUUCAUAUAUAUUUGCAAUCUGUUGAUUUACUAUAUAGUAACCAUAUGUAACUUUGUAAUCCUGUUUCUAAAGAGACCAUAUUAAACAUCAAUUUUGUUAAAUAAAUAAUCUUAUGCAUGAAAUUUCCUUCAUUGCUUCUUUCUUGCAUGCAGGGAUCUGUCAUAUAAUAAUUUCACUCAUCAAAACCCUGAGCAGCCUGCUUGUCGGGAGAUACAGUCAGUAUAUUUCCCUCUCUAUGUUAAAUAAAUAAUCUUCUCCGCUUGUAAUAUCACUUGGUAUAUCUGAGUGCUGAUAUUUGCUUUGUCUCCCGUUAUUUCGUUAGGAAUCUAAAUCUGAACCUGUUCCGAAGUUCUUCUGGGCACAGCAAUUUGUAUGUUGCUUUUCAUGCUUUCUUAUUAUUGUAGCUUAUGUGACAGAUUUAACAACCAAUGUAUAAAGAAGUUUUAAAAAUAUACAGUCAUUUUAUCAUCCAAUAAAUAAGAAGCAACGUGUAUUUUUAGAUUAGACAAUGUAAUGUCUACUAAUAUUCUCUUUUUCCUUGACUAAAAACCAGAAGUGGAGUUCUUCCAUGUAAGAAUAAUUUCAAAUGCGAUCGAUGUAAGUAUACUCUACUAUCAGUAAGUCACCAUAAAAUCUAUAUCUCGAAUAUGUUGACUUUUAGAAUCACAAAUAGUUGGUAGCCUAGCUAUUAAUAAUAUCAUAUUCAAAUCAACUUCAAUUCUUCUGUUUAUUUUUUAAUUGUCAGUUCAUUUCUGGUUUCUUGAAAACUCAUUGCUCAGAUAGUCUUUAACAUUCUUUUUUCUCGGCAGAUUGGCACUCACUGCACAUUAAUUGUGGUGGAAAUGAAGUAAAAGUAAAUGGCAGCACAUUUGAAGGAGAUGGACAAAUUGGUGGUGGUGCUGCAACAUACCAUUCAGAAGAUGAUACUAACUGGGGUUUUAGUAGCAGUGGAGACUUCACUGAUGAUGAUGAUGAACAAAACAGACGUUACAUUGCAACUCCUGACUCAUCAAACCUUUCUGAACUAUACAUUAAUGCACGCAUUGCUCCUCUUUCACUUACUUACUUUGGAUAUUGUUUAGACAACGGAAAUUAUACUUUGAGUCUACACUUUGCGGAGGUCCAGUUCAGUAAUGGAAUUACAUUUCACAGCCUGGGAAGGCGUCUAUUUGAUAUUUAUAUUCAGGUAAUUAAUCAGAAUCAGGAAAUAGAUUUUCAUCGGACACAUUUCUCUCUGUGAGUUCUUGGGAGACAGUUGUGCUAUUGAGUAAUAUGAUGGAUGAUUCUCAAUAUGUUUCUCUGGAUUGUCUUGUUUCAGGACAAACAAGUUGAGAGGAAUUUCGAUAUAAAAGCUGAAGCUUCUGGGGCUCUUAAGCCAGUUGCAAGAUCCUAUAAUGUCACUGUUACAAAUCACAUUAUAGAGAUCCGUUUCCAUUGGGCUGGAAAAGGGACUACGGCACUUCCUAAAAGGGGAGUUUAUGGCCCCCUAGUAUCAGCUAUUUCAUUGAAUGACCCCAGUGAGUCCUUUUCAUCCCUUAUUCUGUUUUCAAAAUCGACUAACAUUAUAAUACGUUGCGAAGUCCGGAUUUUUAGUAACACAAUUUCAAAUGUUCUUUUUUGAAGUUUAACUCUCUACGAUUGUACAUUAGAAAAAAACCAAAAUUCAGAUAUUUAGUUUGUUUGCAGCCAUUUUCUUACAUAUCCAUUUUAUGUGAAAGGAAAAAGAAAAUCUCCAUAAGUUAUUAAGCCUAUCAAUGUAGUUUUGAAUUUUUUUUCAUGCCCACACGUUUCUGUAAUGCAUUCGUUCCAUGUUUUCACAUGCUUCUGAUAAUCCUGCUUCAUGGAUUCUCCUUGGCAGACUUCAAACCUGAAAAGAAGAAGGUAGUGCCGAUUGUUGUUGGAGUAGUUGCAGGAUUAUCUCUCAUAAUCUUGGCGUUCGGUAUCCUCGGUUGGAGGUACUAUUUGAGAACCAAGAGGCGCAAAGAAAGAGGUGUGGGCUUCUUUUAGAUAAAAAUUAAAAAAUGCUUCAGUUUGCUACUCAACAUUUAUUCACAAUCAUUUUCUUUUUCAUUAUAAUAAUCAAAAUAGUAUCUUUAUAACAGCAUUAACUUUAUGUAAGCAUGUGAAGACAUUUAGGUUCAAACUACAUGCUGAUGCUCAUUUUGACCAUCCACAUUAAAUUUAGUAAGGAAAUAACUUAAUGAAUCCAGAAACUCAUCUAGAGGCUAAAGCACACUUGUCUCUCUUUAUUUGGACAGGUUUUAUGAAAGAGUCGGAUCUCCAAACAAUUUCUUUUACCUUAAAACAAAUUAAAGCUGCAACUAACAAUUUUGAUUCUGCAAAGAAGAUUGGAGAAGGUGGAUUUGGACCUGUGUACAAGGUAUAUUGGCCAACCUUUUGCCCCUAAUCAUCCUCUUAACACAAAAUUUCCUUCAAUGGUUACUUAAAAUUUGUACAUUUCUUUUUUCAUAACUGGGAUGCAGGGUCAACUAGCAGAUGGUACUAUAAUUGCUGUGAAGCAACUCUCUUCAAAAUCAAGGCAGGGGAAUCGUGAAUUCUUAAAUGAGAUAGCCAUGAUUUCGUGCUUGCAACACCCAAAUCUUGUUAAAAUUCAUGGCUGUUGUGUUGAAGGGGAUCAACUCUUGCUAGUAUAUGAAUACAUGGAAAACAGCAGCCUUGCCCGUGCUUUGUUUGGUAAGUUUAGUCUAGUAAAACAAGAAGCAAAUGUUACAUACAGGUAUAUUAUGUUUCAUAUUCUGUAGGGAUGUUUCUGAUUGGAUUUGGAAUGGUUAUUGUAUUUUUAAGGUCGUGAAAACUGUGAACUGGAAUUGGACUGGCCGACCAGGCAGAAGAUCUGUCUUGGCAUAGCCAGGGGGUUAGCUUUUCUUCAUGAAGAAUCAAGAUUCAAAAUUGUUCACAGAGACAUCAAAGCUACAAAUGUUCUGCUAGAUAGGGAUUUAAACCCCAAAAUAUCAGAUUUUGGACUAGCUAAGCUUGAUGAGGAGGAUAAAACCCACAUCAGCACUCGCAUUGCUGGAACCAUGUAAGCCUCAUUUCACGUCUCUCAUUUAAAACUGAUAAUUUUGUUAUUGUUUCAGUGUAAUACAAAAUUGAUAAUUUUGACUUCAGAGGAUACAUGGCACCAGAAUAUGCACUCUGGGGCUAUUUGACCUACAAAGCAGAUGUUUACAGUUUUGGGAUCGUGGCCUUGGAAAUUGUUAGUGGGAAAAAUAAUAUGAGUUAUGCUUCAGCUCUGGAGUUCGACUGCACUUGUCUUCUCGAUUGGGUCAGCAACUAACUCAUAUAAUUCACCUUCUGCAUUUUCAUUUCUGUGGUUGUUGUGUCUUCUCUAAUGCUAUGUUUUGGUUUGGGUAGGCCUGUCAUCUUCAGCUAGAUGGAAAGUUAGUGGAGCUAGUGGAUGAAAGGCUAGGAUCAAAAUACAACAAGGAAGAAGCAGAAAGGAUGAUCAAAGUAUCUCUUUUGUGCACAAAUGCUUCGCCGUCACUAAGGCCAACAAUGUCGGAAGUGGUGAACAUGCUGGAAGGAAAAACUGCCAUACCAGAUAUGAUACCAGAAGCUGGAAGUUAUAGUCAAGAUUUGAGGUUCAAAGCCUUGAGAGACCAAAAGGGGCUGAGGCGUAGUCAGAAUUCGACAGCAACUCAGUCCCAGCAUUCAAUAUCAGCUGAGUUCAAUCAGGCCUCUUCCUCUACUUCGGCUGCCCAAGAUCUCUAUGAAAUUAAUGAGGAGUCAUAUAAGAAGUAUAAAGUCAUUAGAGACGGUUAUAAGCUGAUCCAAGGCAUGAAUUCAGAGGUACAGCUUUCAACGACUAUGCCCUCAUGAACUGCCUAUGAUCUUUACAACCAUAAUUCAUCGAGUUCCUAGAAACAUACAUCAUUUUUGGUGUUGUCAAUUCCGCAGUUCCUUUUUCAUUUUUUGAAAAUAUGUGUGUAUAUACACAUCUAUGUUAUUGUGCAUUUUGUUACCUUGGUGACUGUAAGAUUACAAACUAACUAUACAUUUGGAGUCCACAAAACAAAUGUGAAAAGAACAACUUUGAUGAUUGCUGGCUUCCUCAAUAAUUUUAGAGGCGCACGCAACCAUUUCCAAUCUGAUUGGCCCUAGCUGGCUGCCAUGUCUAGCGGCUCACAUCCGUCCUGCUUUUGAAAAACAGCAGCGAUGAAUGUAUAAAAAUUAGUUAAAAAAAUAGCACCUCACUAUUAAAAGAUAAAAGAAAUUCACUAUAAAAUUAAAAAAAUAUAUUAUGUUACAAGAUAUGUUUUGGAGUCUCCCAUGCUAUUCGUGCUCAAUUUCGAUACGAACGCUACUAUUCCUAUUAAAAACCUAUAAUGUCAAAUUGGGCUUAAAAUAUCUAAUUUGACCAUUCUACAUAAGAUCUAUUACUCAUCCACAUUUUAAUCUUAUAACUCUAAAACAAAUAAUAUAAUUUUCUGAAUCAAUAUCAAAUUGACAGUUUGACACUAACUAUUCAUAUAUUUGAGCUAUCAAUGAUCAAUGAGUGUCCAAACGAUUCACUUCGCUCCAUUCUACAGCAGCGAAGGAAUCUGAAACCUUAUCAUUGAUUUGACAAAUGCAAUAACCGGCCCUUUCUGUUAGAGUUACUAUCAUUAGUCAUACAAAAUGUUAAACGUUGAUUCCUAUUAAAAAAAAGAAAAAAAGUAAAGGUAUUCGUAUUGCAUGCUCAUGCAUGCACGGAAAGGUGAAUUGAAAGUAAUUAAGAUGGCUGUUUAAUCUUCACUUUUCAACAUUUUGACUAAAGAAAUAUUGGAUGUGCGUGCAUACAGCAUAUUUUAUUUAUGGAGCUGCAUAAUAUUCUAACCUUUUCUACUGUGUAAAUCAAAAAGUAAGGACAAAGGAGAAGAGAACGAUUGGAUGACGUUGGCUGCUAGAGGCAGAAAGAGAGCUGCUCUGCUCAAGGCAUAUUUUGGGUACAAACUUGAAUACAGAUUCCUAUUUUGGGUUUUGCGAAAAUGCUCUUCUUCUUCAAACGUUUUCUACUUCCUGUGCUGGUUAUGAGUUGCUUUUGGGCUCAAAUUUUUGCUGCUGCUAAACUGCCUCGACAUGAAGGUAAGUUCAAAUUUUUGCAAUUUUAGUACAGAUUUUCACUUUUACCAAGUAGGAUCUACUUCGAUUAGUAGGUUUUGAUUGUGUUGGCAGUUGGUUUGAUCCUAUCUCUGAAUAAUUACUUUAUCAAGAUAGUAAAAACCCAGAAUCUCAAAUAUUCUUUUAAAAGCAUUAUUAGCAGAUUUUUUUUUUUUUUAACUUUUAAAUUUUCUGAUGAUGAUGAUGAAAAUGCAGUUGAUGUUCUCAAUCAGAUAGCUCAAACAAUGGGAGCCACUAACUGGACUUUCGGUUCUGAUGCUUGUGAAGAUCACGUCACUAUAAAACAGAUUGUAUUAACAGAUCCUUUGAGAAACAUAACCUGCAACUGCCAAUUUCAGAAUGAAACCUGCCACAUUAUUGCCAUGUAAGUUAGUUGCCUUGAUUCUCUCACGAAUUAGAUGAAAGUAUUUGUAGCAUUCUUUCAAAGAGGAAUCUUGGUCACACAGUGUCAAUUUUUAAUGUAGUAACAAAAAAGUCUGAAAAUUGCUAUUGCCCAUUAAUGGAGUGUGAAAAGUGCUGUUUUUGCGAAAAGGAAAUUUCUUUUCCCAUAAAAUAAUCUGGUUUUGCUUUACUUUUUCGCGGAAUUCAUGCGUUUCAGCCUUCGAGGAACUCUCCCACCUCAAAUUGUCAAUCUUCCUUACCUCGAAAAUGUGUAAGAUUGUACACAACUUUCAGCAAUGCAUAUUUAUUCUAAUUUUAUUGUUCGCUAAUUUUUUAUGCAUUUGGGAUUGAUACCCAAUUUUGUUGAGAGGGUUUCUGUGAAUGCUUGUGAAAGAACUUUAAAAGCACUUGCUGAUGCUUCUCCAUAAAGCAUUUCCAGUACAUUUUUGACCCUCUAAGCAUUUUCUAGAAAUCAUCUACAAGUGCUUCCUCACAAGGAAUUUUGCAUUUUUGUUUAUUUUAGACUAAUGCUACCAAAAAAUAGACCCAUGCCAAAAAUGUAACUAAAUGCACCCCUAUUAGUCUACUGCAUUAUGAAUAUCUUCGUUUCCUUCUUUCUUUUACAGACCAAUUUGUAAAUUUGAUUGAUAUUGUUGUGGAAUGCAGUGAUUUUGCUUACAACUAUCUGCAUGGUUCGAUACCACGUGAAUGGGCCUCGAUGCAACUGAAGUAUAUGUAAGCUAUAUCUACAUCUUUCAAUCGGUCGAGAAAAUAAAAUUUUGUUUGUCUCACUGAAUUAACCAUAUUGGAAUUGUCCAUGCAGCUCUGUUUUUGCAAACCGAUUGUCAGGCAAUAUUCCAAGCCAUUUGGGGAACAUUACUAGUCUCACACUUGUCUCUCUUAAUUUGGACAGGUUUUAUGAAAGAGUCGGAUCUCCAAACAAUUUCUUUUACCUUAAAACAAAUUAAAGCUGCAACUAACAAUUUUGAUUCUGCAAAGAAGAUUGGAGAAGGUGGAUUUGGACCUGUGUACAAGGUAUAUUGGCCAACCUUUUGCCCCUAAUCAUCCUCUUAACACAAAAUUUCCUUCAAUGGUUACUUAAAAUUUGUACAUUUCUUUUUUCGUAACUGGGAUGCAGGGUCAACUAGCAGAUGGUACUAUAAUUGCUGUGAAGCAGCUCUCUUCAAAAUCAAGGCAGGGGAAUCGUGAAUUCUUAAAUGAGAUAGCCAUGAUUUCGUGUUUGCAACACCCAAAUCUUGUUAAAAUUCAUGGCUGUUGUGUUGAAGGGGAUCAACUCUUGCUAGUAUACGAAUACAUGGAAAACAACAGCCUUGCCCAUGCUUUAUUCGGUAAGUGUAAUCUAUUAUUGAUUGCUUGAUUGAUUAUGUGAGAGGAAAAUAAAAUAGUAACUUAGAAACACUAUACAAGUUAUAUAACAAUCUAUUAUUCUCCCUAGUAAUAUCUCUUGGAAUGGUCAUGUUAAGGUGGUGAAAACAGUCGACUGAAAUUGAACUGGUCAGUGAGGCAGAAGAUCUGCCUUGGGAUAGCCAGAGGUUUAGCUUUUCUACAUGAAGAAUCCAGAUUCAAGAUAGUUCAUAGAGACAUCAAAGCUACGAAUGUUCUGCUAGAUAGAGAUUUAAACCCCAAAAUAUCUGACUUUGGACUGGCUAAGCUUGAUGAGGAGGAGAAAACUCACAUCAGUACUCGAGUUGCUGGAACAAUGUAAGCUACAUGUCUCUCUUUUCAAUGACAUUUUGUCACUGUUUUAACAUCAAAACUCAUGAUAAUUUGAUAUGCAGAGGAUAUAUGGCACCCGAGUACGCUCUAUGGGGUUACCUGACCUACAAAGCAGAUGUUUACAGUUUCGGAGUUGUGGCUUUGGAAAUUGUCAGUGGGAAGUAUAAUAUGAGUUAUGUGCCAGACAGUAAUUGCAGCUGUCUUCUUGACUGGGUAUGAGAUUAACUAAAUUUUUAUUCUUUAGGAGUACAUGUAACUCCAUUUUAGUGGGGACAUGUUUGUUUGUUUGUUAUUUAUUUAUUUGGGACAACAGUUGUGGCAUGAGUUUAAAUCCAAUAAAUGUAGAUUUUUUAACAUAAUUGUCUCGGUUAUGUAUUUCCCUGGCCUUCCAUUUACAUCGAAGUGGUACGUUAAUGGAGUUAGUGGAUCCAAGGCUCGGAUCAGAAUUCAACAAGGUUGAAGCAGAGAAAAUGAUUAAAGUAGCACUCUUGUGCACCAAUGUGUCACCUUCACUAAGGCCAACCAUGUCUGAAGUGGUAAGCAUGCUGGAAGGAUCUUCUAACAUUCCGGAUGUAAUCCCUGAAGCCGGUGGUUUGAGUGAAGACUUGAGGUUUAAAACUCUAAGAGACCAUCCAAGAGAAAUGAAUAGUUCGGGUUUGGAAGGAAGUCUGUCUCGUUAUUCAUCGUCAGCCAGCUUCUUGCCUGGUUCUUCCAGCUUCUUGCAUGGUUCUUCCCCUACCGAUGAUGUCCGUGAAAUUAAUGCAGAGGCAUAUUUGAAGUUUAAGGCCAUGAGAGACAGUCAUAUUCAUAUGGAAAGACAAAGUUCGGUUGCCCAAGUAUCAACACCGGUCCCCUCAUGGACUGGCUCUUCAAAAUCUGCCCAUGAUCUUCACAACACAAUUCGAGUUCAGCGGAUGUGCAAAAUCAUCCGCCAGCUAGUUUCAAGUUUCAACAUUCAACUUUUUUGUAACCUACGUCUAUGUGUCAUACCUUCUCGCAUCAUCUUUGUAUCUAAAAUUUUCAGCAAGUACGUACUAUAGAAGUCAUGUUUGUGUGUUUGGAGGAAAGAGUUACCAUUUUUCUGGAGUUGUUGAAAUUACGUGGUUUUAAGGUUGAUGCGAAAACCCAUAGUUUUGGGGAAAAAAAGGAAAGAUAGCAGAACGCCACGUGUCAACGAAUGGAAUAACUUUAGUGUAAUCCGAGGUACCCGACAUGAUUCGAAGUACCCCGCACGGUUAGAGGUACCCGGCAUGAUUAGAGGUACCCAGCACGAUCGAAGGUACUCCGAAUAAUUCCAGAGAAACUCGAGGUACUUCGCAUAGAUUGGGGUAUUCUGUAUUAUUCGAGGUACCUAUAAUAACUCCAGAAUAAUUCAAGGUACCCAUAAUAACUUCAGAAUGAUUCAAGGUACCCGAAAUAAUUCCAGUAUAAUUCAAAAUACUCGGAACAACUCGAGGUACCCGGCAUAAUUCAAGGUACCUAACAUAACCCAGAGUAACUCAAGGUACCCCGCAUAGAUCAGGGUGCCCCAUAUAACUUGGGGUACCCGACAGAUCCGACUCAAGAGUAUCCUUUAAAAAAGUCCGUCAUGAGAAAUAUCUACACCUCUUAAAAGAUAAUAUUCGAUUUAGUCAAAAUUAGGAAAAAAAAAUGUUGUACUAAAAGGGGGGGACAGCCGCCUGCUACCUUUGCCAAAAGUGAAGGACUACCUGACAGCCACUGCAGAGGUACCCUGGACUACUCUCCAGCGUGCGCCACGUUUCCAAAGGAUGAGAUAUGCCGCGAAUUUGCACAUAACGGCCCAAAAAUCAUAAAAAUGUAAAAAAAAGUUAGCCAAAAAGGAUACAUCACAUAACAGUUGAGGUACUCCAUAUAUAAAGAUGUUUAGGUUUUAUUCUCGAUCAGGUUCUCAUUCACCAUCAACACCCACACUCUGAAAAAUAUAUUUUCUUCAACCUUAAAUCUUGAUUUACAGAGGGCUAGUCAGCUCUCUUUGCCAUAAAAAGCUUGAGUUUGCUAAUUUGAGCGUCGAAGUGUGAAUGCCAGGGUACCAGUGGCGGACCUACAGCUGGGCUAGACCGAGCUGUAGCCCGGUCUAGUCCAGAAAAAAUCAUUUAAACCCCUUUUCUUUAGAUUAAUUCUAUAUAAGAAUAGAGUUUUUACUUUAUUUUUAAUAAGUCCUUAAUUCAGUUGCUUUUAUGUUUUCAUCAAAUUUCAUAAAACAAUAGAGUUUUUACUUUAUGUUUAAAUAUAUCCCUAAUUCAAUUAUAUUUUUUUAUUAGUGGCUUAUUUAUAAAAUGAUUAAAUUAUAUACUUAUUGAAUAGAAUGAAAACAUUAGGGGUCGAAAAUGUUAUUACUACUUUAAUUUGUUGUUAAAAUUUUAAUUUAAAAAAGUAUGUCAAUGUAAUAUAACAUUGUCACUAGUGUUAAAAAUACUAAAAAGAUAUAUAAUAAAAAUUAUUAACAAUUUCAUAAAUUUUUUAUGUGAAUGUUGAGAUUUUAUUUAUUAGUUGCAUUAACUAAGAGGAUAAGUUAGAAAAUAAAAUUUGAGUAUUUUGAUAUGAUUUUUUAAAGUGAGUCAGAGUGACUGGCAAAGAAAUAAUGGCGCACAAAUACUUUUUUACUACGUUAGAGUUUAGUUUAUUAUUGAAACUCUUGACAACUAAUAUUUUUAUAAUUUUAAAAGAUGAAUAAAUUUUAAUUGUUUAAUUUAUUUAAGCUUGGUAAUUAAGUACUUUUCAAACAUAAAGUUCUAUUUGCAAUAUUUUAAUUGAUUAUAAUUACAUAUAUUGAUUUAUUCAAACUUGAAAUUCUUAAUUGAUUUAUUAAUUCUUAUAUAAUUAGAUGUUAAUAUAUGUUGCAAUGUUAUAUUCCAUAAUUAAAAAAUAGUAUUUUUAUAUUUAAAUUAUCUUUUGUUUUCUAUUCUUUUUGUAUACUUAUUUUUAUUUAAAGUACAUAUUUAUAGGGUUUUUUGUAUCUCCUUAUUUGAUGUAUUUUUUUUUUUACUUAUAAAUGUUUAUGUUCACUCCAAAAUAUAAAAAUUUUAAUUUAGCCCAGGAUAAUAUAAAGUUCUGGGUCCGCCCCUGCGGGGUACCCCGGCUUUACCUCGAACCUCUAUUUCACUGUUUUACAGGCGUGAAGCUCAUUUGGAAGGACUUUUUUUCUUUGUUAUAACAUUUCUCCAUUGUACCAACAAAGUGUUGGCUCCACUGGCAAAGGAGUCCCCUUAAGUGGCUUGACUGGGUUUGCUCCUCAGUUCGAGUCGCAGGGAAGUCGUCUUUGUUGGGAGAACAUGUGCCUCUCAGUUCGAGCGGGGACUUCUAGUCUGAGUUGUGGUACGGGCUUAAAGGUGUUUCCCACAGUUGGGGCCCUCCCCAGAAUACCUCGUGGUCAAAACCAAAUAUAUAUAUAUAUAUAUAUAUAUAUAUAUAUAUAUAUAUAUAUAUAUAUAUAUAUAUAUUUCUCCAUUGUUACCACUCCCUCUUCCAUUCUCACCUCCUCCAAAUUCAAAAGCACAGCACACAACAAACCAGUGAGGUAUCUCGUCUCCCCUCAAAAUAUAAAUUCAUUAUUUUAGAUAGAUUUAUCUUUUCCUACCCCCAAAAUAUGUCGAAAACACCCAUCAACACUGAAUAAUAUUGUGAUUUUUUUAAUUCAAAUUCCUUCAUUUGGAUGAAUGUAUGUAUAGUAUACAUUUAUAUGUACGAUUUUUAAGAUGUAAUAAAAUUGAUAAUGUUGAUAACACAUAUACAAAGUUUGAGUGAGGAAAUUUAUCUAUUGGUAAUAGCGAUGCUGAUAAUGAAUACUUUAUGAACUAAUGUGUAAAUACUAUAUGCGACCCAACCCGAUCAUUAUUUUUUAAAAUUUUUUUAUGUGAACAUUCUAAGCGUAUCCUUUUUAGAUAAGGAGGGCAAUGCAUUCAGACAAGCCGAAUUCAAAAAUUAAAAGUGAAAAAUACUAGUCAAAGCAUUUGUCCCGAGGGAAAAAGAUACUCAUAUUCUCAAGAUUUAGGAAAAUAAUUAUGUAGACUUAAUUUUUUAAUAAGAGAUACUAAAAUUCUCUUUUGGUUAUAAUACUCUUAGUAAAAAAUAACUAAAAAUUUUAAUUUAAAAAUAUUUAAUAAGUAUAAAUAUAAUUUAAAUAAUUUAAUUUUUCUAAUGUUCUAAUAUUAUUAGAAUAUUUUUUAAUAUACAAAAUUAUCUUCAAAAUGUAAAAUAUUAUACUAAUUUUCAUAAUAUAUUUGUAUUUAUUAUAAAAUUUAAAUAAAUCUUUGGUUAAAUAGAUUUUACAAUUAAUAAAAAUGUGUCUCAUGUAGUAAUAUAAGAUUGUAUAGUAUUAAAAAAUUUUAAAUAUUGAAAUUAUAUCAAAAUGCAUAUAUUGUUACAUUUAUUUUAAUUUCAUAUUUUUAUUCAUUAUAAAACAUUGGAGUCAAUUUUUGUGAGUUAAUAGAGCCAAACAAUAUUUUAGUUAAAAAUGAGUCUUGGUGUUCUUUAUUGCAAACAUGAAUACUUGACCAUUUCUCUAAAUUUUAGGGGUGUAGGUGUCGUUUUCACUAAAUUUAAUAAUAAUGAGAAAAGAAUCAAAGAAAGAAGAGAUAUUUUUGUAACAAGAGGAGUUGCCCUUGAUUUUUAGGACCCGUUUUGUAUUGCUUUUAGAAGACUCAAAUGUAAUUUUAAAAAGUUAUAAAUUAAUUUUAGUAUUUCGUAAAUUUGCUCAAAAAUCCUUUUAACAAAAUUGUCCAUUCUGCAACAUAUUUUGAAAAGCGAGAAAUGAAUAGUUUUUUAGAAUCUGAUUUUAAAAAUCAGUUUUAUACUUAAUACAAUUUCAUAUGUAUUUUCAUAUAUAUUAUAGAAAUAUAAAAUUAUCCUUAUUAAUUAGGAAAUAAAUUUAUUAACGUUAAAGAAAUUAUUAUUAAUAAUUUUUUUCUAAUUUUAUUGAGAUAACAAAAUAAAAAAUAAAAUUAAUAAUAUAAAAUAUUUAUUUUAGCUAGCAAUUAUAUUCACACACACAUGUUUUAUGUUUAUAAAUGUAUAAGUAAAUUUUUUAUUCAACAUUAUGUCAAAUUCAGUCACUUACAUUCUUAUAAUAGUUUAACAAUAAGAUUUAGUCAAAACACAUGCUAUUGCUUGUAAACUCACAAUAUUUUUAAAAAUAAAUUUUAUCAAACGUUUAACUAAUUCUCUUCUACCUAAUUAUUUCUACACCAUUGCUAACAUCAAUUAUUUUUAAAAAGUAUAAUAUUACCAAACUAACCCUUAAUGUGUCUUAGGGAUGGCAAACACAUGGCUUAAUGCUACAGUUAAGGGUGUGUGGCAUGAUUUUUUGAUUGGAUUGUAAUGAAUAUGAUUGAUUAAGAUAAAAUUAAACUAGAUUAGAUUGAGAAACAUUUAGUGGUGUUCUCAUGAUUAGUUUAAUACAUGAUUGGACUAAAUUGUAUAAAUAAAUUUACCAUUAAAUUACUUAAAAUACAAAUAAAUAUAACUCAAUUUAAUUAUCCUUAAAAAAUUAAAUUUGAUUAUAGACUAUAUAAACAUGCACUUCGAUUAACGGAUUUUGGUGGAGUGAAACUAUGGAGGAUUUAUAAGCAAGGGAAUGAACAAUUUUUUUAUGGGAAGAGAGAUAAAAGAUUUUAUUUUAUUUUAUCUUUCUCGUCCACCCUUUAUCGUAUAGACAACUUUUUAGCCUCAAAUUAUCUAGGACAAAAAUUUUAACUAUUAAGGGACUAAAUGGUAAGAUCAUGAUAAUUUAAUUUAACAAAAGUAAACUUUUUUGUACCGAAUUUAUUUUCUACUAAAAUAAACCAAUUCCAUGAUUUUAUUUGCAACCAACAAGCCCCAAUGUUGAAAGGAAACUUUACAUAACUAGCCCAAAAUUUUUUGAGUUUCUAAAAUUGGUCACUCUAACUAUUUCCAUCAUAGUUAGACAAAUACAAAUUUUUUGGACUAAAUUACAUCAUUAUCUCAUAGUUCUCUCUCUCUCUCUCUCUCUCUCUCUCUCUCUCAUACUGUAACCCACUAAUUCCCUCUCUCAAAUAUCCACAGGGGCAACAACCAAGAUCCAACAUUGGAAACACUGCAAUAAUGUCAGCAUAAUGGCUCAUCGGCUUAUUUUUAGCGACAACAUGUCUAUCCUUUAAUUUAUAAGUAUUAAUUUUUUUCGUAGGUUGGUUUUAAGUUAGUUAAUCCUUUAGUUAUUGGAGUUUUCUUAUUGAUUGAUUUUAUAAUUGAGUUUGCACUACUGGUUAUCAUUAGGAUAAUAUUUAUGAAUCUUAUAAAUCAUUUGUAGUUCAAACAGUUAAACUUAUUAUUGGACAUAAUGUAUUUGAGUUAAACUUAUUAUUGGACAUAAUGUGUUUGACGAAAUGUGUGCGAAAGUGAAUGUGUUAUUGUUGCUAUAACUUGCUUUAUAUUGUAUGUUUGAGCAAGAUUGGUCGGAUUGAGCAAUUUUUAUUUUUUAUUUUUUGGUUGGUUCGGUCAUGGUUGUUUUGUGCAUGGUGAUUAGUUUAAGAAUUGUGGUUGGCUUCCCCUUUUUGUGUGAAUAAGUGUUUCUAUCACAUCAAAAACUGCAACAAUCAUGCUUGGUGUGAUGGGCAUAUUUAUCAUUUUAUCUCAUCUGUCCUUAGUAAGAGAGGUGCUUGUUGCACUAAAACUCAGUAUAUAGAUUUUUUUUAAAAAAAUUUUAUUAUAAUUUUAUAAAUAAAUAAAAAUUUGGAUUUGACUGUUUGAGUGUGCCAUUUUUCUGUGAUAGAAUGGUGUAUGCACUUAUUUGGUGCGAUAAACAUCAUAUGUGCUUAUGUUUUGGUGCUUAUCGCAUGGCCUAUUGCACCCGUAGGUUGUGUUUUGGUGCAAGAGGUACUUGCUGCAUUAAACACAAGUGCGACGGUUUUAUUUAUAUACUAAAGUAAACUAGGUAUUUUAUGAAUUCACAUUAUUAAAAAUAAAAUUUAAAACAAACUAAGUAUUUUAUAAACCCACGUUAUUAAAAAUAAAAUUUAAAACAUCAUCAAUAUUAUUUUAUGAAUUUGGUGAAUUGUUGAAGGUUGUGGUGACCGGUGAGGUUCGGAGAUUUUUCAAGAGUACCAUUAACUUUUUCUAUUAUAAUUAGUUAAUUACAAUAUUUUUUUUUUUGUGAUAUUUAUCCUCACUAUAUCAAUAGAUUACCAAACCAAUAGCAUCAACAAAUCAUCAAAUUUCAAGAAAUUUAAAAGAUUUUGGGUUAUUUAUGUAAAUUUUCCAUGUUGAAAAGUUGAAAAAAAGGAAAAAAGCAGCAGUCAACUGAGAAUCCAGUUCCAGCCAACAAAAACGCGUUUUAAGACAUUAUUGUAGUCAAAAGUCAAAGCCCCCACAAGCACAUUACACAUUUCAACACGUACACAUUUGUCCUAAAGCAGCAGCAAUCAAAUAAAAACAAGAGCAACAUAAAAUAAAUAAAAAAAUUAAAAAAAAAAAAAAUACUCUUCUUCAGUUUUCACCAACUACAAGGUCCCUCCUUUCUCCCUUCUCCGUCCCCGACUUGGCCCACAACACAACAACAAAUAAACUGAAAAAGAACAAAAACAAUAUUUUUCAAUUUUUUUUGGUUAUUUUGUUUUUACAUCAUGAGAUAAAUGAACUAUUUUUCUUGUUUAUGAAUGAAAAAAGAAUUCCCGUUCUAUGGAAAAUCAGAUUGCUACUACUCUUCGGUACUCAAUCCAAGCUCUGGGGCGUGGCUUUGAUGUCACAUCUGAUAUAAGGCUUCUUUAUUGUAAGGGAGCACCUGGGUCGAGGCUUGUUCACAUAGAUGAGGAUCAUCAUGCAGGAGAUCUUGUUGUUUCUGAUGGUGUUUUGGUGCCUAAUGUCUCUGUUGAUAUUGAGUGUUCUAAAGGCAAUAGAAGCAUUGAGAGAAUACCUGUUUGCAGCUUCCAUGAGGUGACUGUUUCUCAGAUUUUCAAUCUUCUUUUUUUUUUUUUGGUAUCGUCUGUUGGCUUGGUGAGCUAAAAUUGUUGUCUGGGUAUGCUUAAAUCUUAUUGCUUUAUUGAAAAUUUUCUGGUUGCUGGCAUGCUGGCUUCCUUGCAAUUUGUUUUUUUCCAAUGCUUUAAUUUGAUGAUUUGUUGGGGAUGUGCGACAUUUAUUAGCUUAGUAAGACCAGAAUUCUGUUUUCCUGAUUUCUGCUCUUCAGCUGCUUUCACGUUUAGAAACAUCCAUUUAUUUAUUAUAGGAAUCUGAAUAAUUUCAUACUAGUUGGAUUAACAAACUGCAUUUUGUGAAUAUUGGUUUCUCCCGGCUAAGUUUUGGCGAUGUCUUAAAAUUGAAGCUAUUAGGCUUUUUGGGUAAUUGCAACGUUAUUAUAGCUCCUGUCAUAAGUUCGAUUGAAGUGAAAGAGUUAAUGUUCUAGAUUGAAUGGAAUGUCCGUGUUGUCAAUAGUUUCUGUACAUUAGAAAAUCACGUCGGAAUCAAUGUUUUGGCAUGAGUUUCUUGAUUGCGAUGAACGAAUCUUGUUUCUUGUUAAACUGUGAACUUUUAAUGGAGGCCUUUGAUGCUUGAAAUUCCAGAUGGCAGGAUACUUCAAUGAGAAAUCCGGUAUAUCGGGAAACAUUCCACUUGGAAGCUUCAAUGCCAUGUUCAAUUUCACUGGUUGCUGGCAAGCUGAUGCAGCAGCUACAAAAUCCCUUGCCAUGGUUGGAAAUUUCAUUUCCCUUUAUAAGGUUAAGCUAGCUAAGCUAAAUUUAGUUCUCUGUGAAGAAAUCAGGCGUGCUGUUCCUUAUUCAUGGGAUCCCCCUUUGUUGGCAAGGUAAAGUGGUAAAUUACUAACUACACCAUCUUUGUGUAGUGCUGUACACUCUGACUUCACGCACAUGCACCACAUUUUCUAUACAAUAUCCAUUUGAUAUAUGUUUCCUCAUUUCCACUUCUUUUUUCAUUUUUGCCAGUUUUAUUGAAAAUUAUGGUACCCAUAUUGUUACAUCUAUAACAAUUGGUGGAAGAGAUGUGGUUUAUAUCAGGCAACACCAAUCAUCUCCUUUGUCAAUGAUGGAUAUCGAGAACUACGUGAAAGACAUUGGGGAUGAAAGGUUUAUGGACUCAAAAAGUCAGUCAAGUGCUGCUCCCUUAAAGUACAAGGACAAGGUAGGUUUUCUUUCUAUUUGUUAUUUUUUAGUUAAACCUAACCCUGGUGUGAGCAAGAUUUGAUGUUAAGGCCUCUCAUUUUAUUUAUGUUGCUGCCUCUUCUUUAUUUUUUUAUUUUUAUUUUUUGGAGAUUAGAGCUGUUGUGGAAUUGAACUAUUUAAUCUGCUAGUUUUACCGACUUAUUUGAGCGUCAUUGCACUUUUAACUUGUUACAUUUUGUUUUUGCGAAAGUAAAAUUCUGAUGCACUUCCUGUUUCCUUAACAUAGAUCUUCUCUGGCACUUUUCUGUAAGAAUAUCCGUUUAAAAAAUUUCUUCUUGUAGGAUGUCACAGUCAUUUUUAGGAGGAGAGGAGGUGAUGAUCUAGAGCAAAGUCAUGCUAAAUGGGCAGAGACUGUACAACUGGCACCGGAUGUAAUUAACAUGACAUUUACGCCCAUUGUUUCACUGCUUGAAGGAGUGCCUGGUAUAAAGCAUUUGGCCCGUGCAAUUGAAUUAUACUUGGAAUGUAAGUUUUCACCUAACGGUUAGAUGUUCUUGUGGUUUGAAUUGUUCAUUGAUUUCACUUAUAUUGUAAUGCAUCAAGGAUUCCUAGAGAAUCUAGCAUAUCAUCAUUUAUACUUCAAAAGUCUUCAUGUAGCCGAUUCAAUUGAUUGUCCAAUAGUAUCCCUGAUUUAGCAGAGUCUGGGAAACACCUCAUCACAUUAUCUCCUUAAUCAUAGGAAAUAUUGUAGAGAGUCCUAGUUUGCAUAAGUUCAGUUUCACAUAUUCACAACAGGGUUAGUGUUGCUUUCAAUUGUCCUGUUGUCUUGCUCUUUGUUCUGAUCAUAAAAGAUGGAGCUCAAAUUUGUUGAAAUUUCUACAACAGUGCAUCAGUUACAUUGACUUCAAUCGGUGCUUAUUUUCUUUCACAGUAGAUGUGGCUGUAUUUAUGCAAAUACUAUCACAUUUGCUUUUGUCUUGCAUUAAAAUAGAUUGAUAAUGAUUUACUGAUUGAUUGACUGUUUAUUUCUUUACCAGACAAACCACCGAUUGAGGAUUUACAGUAUUUCUUGGAUUAUCAAAUUCCUCGAGUUUGGGCCCCACAACAUAGUAAUAUUCAAAGAAAGGAGCCUGUUUGUUCAUCCCUUCAAUUUAGCUUAAUGGGUCCUAAGCUUUAUAUUAGCCCAGAUCAGGUAUUUUUCAUUUUUUUUAAAUCUACAGUGUGAGAUUAAAUUAUUAAAUUAUAAUCUACUGAGGUAAUUAUAAUAUAAUUCUUUCAUGUCCAAGUGAAUUAGAGAUAGCCUACUAAUAUCUCUCAUUAUCUGUAGCCCAAUUUCCCGUUCAGUUUAUUUUGCUUUGACGAUAAUGUGAUGGUUUUUGUUCACACAAGAAGAUAAAAAUGACGACAGAAAAAAGUUUAGGUGCAUGUUUAGUUAAAGCGUAAUGCUAUGCUUAGUCAGUUGGGAUACUUAGUUUCUAUCCCAACUGAUAUGCACAGAAGAAAUUAUUGCUUGUAUGAAAUGAAACAUAGUGGUGGCUUCUGGUCUAUCAUUUUGGUGAUCUUUUCUCGGGUGUUGGAAGAUCUUGAAGUUGCGAGUCUUUAAUUUAUAUGUUACUAGCAAAGGCAGAAUCCUUGUGUAAAUCUACAAAAAUGAAAUAGUGAAAUUGUAAUCCUGCAGUGCUGCACCUUCUUUGCCUGGUGUACAUUUAUGAGGGAGAGUAGUGGUUUCAGACCUUUUAGUAGUGGACGUCUCAAAGGGAUGGUCUCCUUCUGCCCUUGUAGUGAAAUGUGCAAAACUAAUAUAUAUCUUAAAAGAGUUGCCUGAUAUUGUUUAGUAUGGCAAUAACUUUUCUCUAGCUAAGCCAAAAUAUGCCAUGAUGUUAUCAGGUAACUGUUGGCCGUAAGCCCGUCACUGGUCUUAAACUUGGCCUAGAGGGCAGCAAACAAAAUAGACUUGAAAUUAACUUGCAGCAUCUAGUGUCUCUUCCAAAGAUCCUUCAACCCCAUUGGGAUGCUCAUGUGGCUAUAGGUGCACCUAAGUGGCAAGGUCCUGAGGAGCAAGACAGCCGCUGGUUUGAGCCCAUCAAGUGGAAGAAUUUCUCCCAUGUAAGCACUGCACCAAUAGAGUAUACUGAUACCAGCAUUGGAGACCUCUCUGGUGUUCAUGUAGUUACAGGGGCUCAGCUUGGUGUAUGGGAUUUUGGAGCCAAAAAUGUAUUACACCUGAAACUCCUUUUCUCCAAAGUACCUGGAUGUACGAUAAGGCGGUCUGUAUGGGAUCACAGCCCUUCCAUCCCUUCCACCUCUCAGAAGCCAGGCAGCGCUUCUUCAUCAGUCUCAAACGAGAAAAUGCCUGAGGAUAAGAGGGAAGAUAGUUCAGGCCACAUAGGGAAACUGGCGAAAAUUGUGGACGUAACUGAAAUGUCGAAGGGACCACAAGAUUUACCAGGUCAUUGGUUGGUAACAGGGGCUAAGCUUGGAGUGGACAAGGGAAGGAUUGUAUUGCGUGUAAAGUACUCUUUAUUGAAUUAUUGAUAGAUUAUUUCUGUUUACUUUUGCAGGAUUAACCCCCUUUAUUCCUCUUACAACCAUAUUCUACAUUCUUUGCACAGGAUAUCCAGUUCUUUCUUCUGUUGUUCAGGACCUUAGGAGUUAGGUCAGCAUUACAUUAUUGAUGUUCAAUUUUUUUUUUUUUUGGGGGGGGGGGGGGUUGUGUUUUGAGGAUUACAGAUUUUAAAUUUAGAUUACUCUGUUAGAGGAAUCGAGUUACAGUGAUGAAAGAGUUACCAAAUGUUUUUGAAUUCAUGGAUUAAGUAAUGAUUUGUUGUAUGUAGUCUGUUUCAAGAUUCUUGUAUACCCAGCGUAAGUGUCAGAUUUCACUCGGCUUUUUCAUCGUAGUCAGGAUCAGGGAUGAUAAUAAGACACAGGUUCCUCCAGACUGCCGUUCUGUUUUUGUAAUGUAAGCAAUUAUAUUAAUAACGCGAACAGUCGAACUCUAAUGGUUUGGGGGCCCAAACAAAAAAAAUGCUAACUCGAACUCAGAAGCCUGAGUUUUACUCUAAAAUACUUUCUAUCUUAAUAAUUUUUUAAUAAUCCUUUAGUCCCUUAGUUUGAGUCAAUUGAAGACAAUUCAUAUUUUUUUAACUAUUACCUAGAACAUCUGUGUCAUUAUAUUCAUAGUAGUUAAUUAAACUUUUCUGAAAUAGAUUUUAACCUGAUAUAAUUUAUAAGAUUCAAAUAAAUCCGAAAUUUAAUAAAUAAAAGUAGAUGAUAAUUAAAUUGAUUUUGAUCAAAACAGAUUUAAGAUAUGGACCUUUUAGGUAAUUUUAGAAAAUAGCUCUUACGCUUUUCGAAUAGUAUUUCAAUUUUAUUCAUUUCAAAUGGUAAAAGAGGUCAUAUUCAUCCAUUAAAUAGUGAUAUACAUCAAGUUUUCUUUAGUGUGGGAGUCCUUAUUUUAUUGUUUCUUCAUACGAACACGCUUUUAAGCCAUGAAUUUUAAUAGAAUCAAGUUUUAGUACAUGUUUGAUAUGUUUUAUUUAAUGAUCAUAAAUGUUUAUUUUAUCUCAUGAGUUUUAUAAAAAAAAUUUAUUGUUGUUUGGUUAUUUUUUAAUAGAGAUUUUGAAUCUUAAAUAAGCUAUUUUACCUCAACUAGUAAAAACUCUAAUUUCAGACUUUUGGUAGUAGAGAUUGAAAGUUUUUUUUAAAUGUUAAAAUGUUUAAAAUAUUCUCUACUUAGUUUACAAUCUUAUUUUAUUCUUUCAUAACAUAACUUUUAAAAACUUACCUAUUAAAGUGAUUUUAUAAUUUUUAAUAAAAGUUAUCAUUGAUAACUAAACAACUAAAAUUUUAACGCAAAUACACUGUUAAAUCGUGCGAUUUAACAUAGUUAAUUUUUAAUACACUAGAAAGCCGUAUAGUUUAAUAGUAUUAAGACUCCAUUUGAUACGACUUUUUUAAAUAGAGCUUAUUUAAAUAAAGUUUUAAUUAGUAGAAUUUUUAUAAAUAGAGUUUUUAUCCACAAACACAUGUACACACACAUACACACACACUAAUUUGCAAUUUUACAUGAUAUAAAAUUAUCAUUUUAUUGGAUGCAAUCAACUUCAGAUUAAAAUGUUGGGAUACUAUGUCAUUAACAUUUUUACCUUUUGGAAAAGACAUGAGCCGGCAACAAGUAGAUUAACAUAUAGACUGGAGGUAACACUCAUUCAAUUUCACACUGGACAACGAGCAAUGCAAUAAGCUCGGAAAAUUUUUGUUGGUCGUCCAUGACCAAUUCAGUAUCAUUUAAUCAGUCCAAUGUGGGAUCACAAAAGUUUCUGUCGUUAUUUUGUUUUAAUUUUUCCUUAUUAACAAUAGACAUGACCUUUUCAAUGAAAUCACUUACAUUCUUGGACCCACUUCAGAAAAUAGAAUUAUAUCUGCUUAAAUGCCUGCAGCUUCCGGUAAAGAGACAUUUGGCUAAACAAAUCAAUAGGCCACCUUCAUAUUUAAUUUAAAAAAAAUAAUCAACACAAAUUGCUGGAAUGUCUGAAAGGAAGAAACUGAUGACUGCGAGCGAAAAUACAACUGGAGAAGUGUUGAGAUGCUUUUGGAUUAAGCAUCAUGUCUUUCUGCUUGUAAUGUUUCUCAACUUAAAAUAUUUACUUUCACGCCAUUGUAUGCAUCCUGUUGUCAAAAGCCUGACAGAUACAGAGAAUCUCUCGGCCCAGAAGUCGGCAAGCUUUCAAUAGCGUAUGCAAACAAGCAGAAGGGCCUAAGAAUUGUGGUCGCCAAGUCCAUAUUCGGAUGUUGAGUUCGUACUCUUUAUAUAUAUAUAAAGCUUAAGCUAUCUAUUCUUCAGCAUUAAGGCACCAAAUCAGCUGGGCUACCUUGAAGCUAUGGUACUUUCUAGUUCACAAUUGCUUAUGGCUUUUUAGUUAAGUUAUGUUUUUCAUUUAACCACCAUUAACUAAUUUUGUGAUUUCCUUAUAGGAGAACCUUGAGCUUGUUGAAGGAAAGGUAGAUUGGAAAGGAAGACCAGCUGUGAAGUAUAAGCAUGGAGGAAUAAAGACUUCUUUGCUCAUACUAGGUCGAAACUCUAUCAUGCAUGGUCUAGAUUUUGAAGUAUAAUCAGAGAGGUUGUGAAGGUCGUUUCAGUCUUGUAAUAACUAUAAUGGUUGUGUUUUGUGUUGCAGCUGCAUUUGGUUUCGAAAACUUGGCAACUAUAGCACUGGGAGUGAAUUUGGUGACAUACUUCAAUGGGGUGUUGCACUUAGAUCUAGCUGAGGCAGCUAACCAAGUGACCAACUACAUGGGUACUAGUUAUAUCCUCAGCAUUGUAGUGGCUUUGCUUGCAGAUGCUUUCAUUGGCAGAUUCAAAGCUGUGCUAAUUUCAGGAAGUGUUGAGUUUCUGGUAUAUAUGCUAAUUCAGCUCCAACAAUAAUAAUAAGCCAAAUUUGGCUAUGCUACUUACAAACUCGUUGGUAACUGUUUUUCUUUCUUCUUUUUUUUUUUCCUUCUCUCUCGUCCAUCCAGGGACUAGCAUUGAUAACAAUCCAAGCUCACUACCCCGAUCUUAAGCCACCUCCUUGUAAUGUCUUUGAUCCGACUGCUGGUUGUAAGAAGAUUGAAGGUAGUGAUGCUGCGCUUCUCUUUGUUGCACUCUACUUGAUAGCCACUGGCACAGCAGGAAUUAAAGCUGCACUUCCACCUUAUGGUGCUGAUCAAUUUGAUGAGAAAGACCCAAUAGAGGCUAGACAAAUGUCCAGCUUCUUUAAUCUGCUCUUCCUAGCAGUGUGCAUAGGCGGUGCAAUUAGUGUAACCCUCAUCGUGUGGAUCCAAGAUAACAAAGGAUGGGAUAGGGGAUUUGGUCUCUCUUCGGUUGCCGUAUUCUUGGCUACGAUCAUCUUUGCAGCCGGAUUGCCACUGUACCGAUUUCAAGUUGUUCAAGGAAGUAGUGUGCUCAUUGAAAUUAUACAGGUAUUUUAAUUUUAUAUAUAUAAUCUAGUGAAUAUUUCCGUACUUUAUUAAAAUGCGAAAAUGCUAUUAUACAUCUUGUAAUAUUAUUUCUGUACUUUAAUAAAGUGCAAAAACUCACUAAAUACUGAAUUUAUUUAUAUAUUUGAACUUUAAAUUUUACAAAUUAAGAAUUAAUGAUUUAAUAAUUUUUUUUUCUUGUCUUCAGGUAUAUGUUGCUGCCAUUCGAAAUAGGAAACUUGAACUUCCUGAAGACCCUAUGGAGCUCUAUGAGAUUAACAUGGACAAAGAAGCUGCUAUAGAAACAGAAUUUCUGCCUCACAGAGAUAUUUUCAGGUUAAUUUUAAAUUUUGUUACAAACUCCUUAUACAGACAUAUAUACCAACAUCUCAUAUAGAAAUUAUCCAAGUACAAAUGCCAAUAUAUUAAAUUUGUGUUAUGACAUUCAGGUUCCUAGACAAAGCAGCAAUCCAGAAAACAUCCACAGAAAAUCUUGAGAUAACAGAAGCUCCGAAUCCAUGGAAACUUUGCCGGGUAACUCAAGUAGAAAAUGCAAAGAUCAUCCUAGGCAUGAUUCCAAUUUUUUGUUGCACUAUUGUGAUGACACUAUGCCUAGCUCAGCUCCAAACUUUCUCCAUCCAACAAGGUCUAACGAUGGACACAAGCGUCACUACAUCAUUCCACAUACCACCAGCUUCAUUACCCAUCCUCCCAAUUUUAUUCAUGAUCCUUGCAGUUCCCGUUUAUGAUAGAAUAUUUGUACCCUUUGCUCGCAAGAUCACAGGCAACCCAACAGGGAUUACUCACUUGCAACGCGUAGGAGUUGGCUUAGUCCUUUCUUGUAUCUCCAUGGCUAUUGCUGCAGUAUUUGAAGUGAUACGCAAAGACGUGGCACGUGAUCACAAUAUGCUUGACGCUAUCCCAGUAGUACAGCCAUUGCCAAUCAGCACAUUUUGGCUAUCAAUUCAGUUCUUUAUAUUUGGAAUUGCAGACAUGUUCACAUACGUAGGAUUGCUUGAAUUUUUCUAUUCAGAGGCACCAAAAGGGAUCAAAUCUCUUUCUACUUGCUUUCUUUGGUGUUCCAUGGCGCUUGGAUAUUUUUUCAGCACCAUUUUGGUUAACAUAGUUAACAGUGCAACAAGGGGAAUUACUCAAAGUGGAGGCUGGUUGGCAGGCAACAAUAUUAACAGGAACCAUUUGAAUCUAUUCUUCUGGUUGCUUUCUGCAUUGAGCUUCAUCAACUUCUCUGUGUAUUUGUUUAUGUCUAGUCGGUACAACUACAGACCUCAGACUUCUGUUGGAGGGACAGCAUGCAAGAGCUUUAGCCAAGAUUUAUCGAAGUAGAAUGAAUAUUUGUGGGGCAAAAGCGAAUUAUUAAUGGAAAAUUGUUAGUGUAUGCCUGUGUGUGUGUGUUUUUUUUUUUGGUCCCCUCUAUAAUCUCUUAAUUUGUAGUUAUUUGAAUUUGAUACGUUGUGAUAGAAAAGGGAAACGUGAAAAUGUAAUAUUUAUUUCAGAAAUUUCAUUUCUCAAUUCAAGUGAUUUGGCAGUAAGUAUCAACAGACAUAGUACAAUUGUAUAUAAAAUAACAUAUGGUUUAAUUGUGAGGAUCUAGAGAUACAUUCUAAAUUAAAGUAAAAAUUAAUUUGAUUCGUCGGUUUAAGAUUGCUAUAAUUUUAACAUGCCUCAAGAAUAUGAGAUCAAUACUAAAGUGAAUAGCGCGUAUAUCAACUAGUAUGAGGUUAUUCUAACUUAACCAAAGUUUUCGGUUCGAGACUUGGAAAUACAUUUACGUUAAAUAUUUAUUAGAAGAGAUUUGCCGUCCUAGCAAUUUUACCCAACUUGAAUCUGAAUUAGUCGGAGCCCAAUGUAAUUUUUAGAUACCAAAUAAUUUAAUAUAUCGAAAAAGAAAAGUGAAUAUUUUACUAAUUAAUGAAUUAUAUUAACAUCUUUCACAUAAAAUUUCCAAAUUAACUAGCUAGUCAUUUUACUUAGCUAGGUACCAAAAUAGUGGCAUAGAUCUUGAUGAUCAACUAAGAAGGCCAAGUUUAGCUCAAACUCAUCCAUUUGUCCGCACCCUUCACGAUUCUUAGCCACCUCCUAAGUCAUAACCAAUGCAUGCACACGUGUACUCGCUUUAACUCCCCCACGUCGUUUUCCAAGCACUCAGAUAUGCAUGCAUCUCUCAGAAUAGCAUAUAUAUAUAUAUAUAUGAACUGAACUAGCAACAACCGAAUACAGAAAACAUAGAUCAAAAUUCAAAGGCGGUAGCUAGGUAGCUGCGUUUUAUGAAUUAAUGGCAUCAAGUGACAAGUCCCCGGAACCCACACCGCCGUAUGGAGGGGAGCAGCCGCCAGGGAAGCCUAUGACGAUGAAGCAACACGUUUUGGACAAGGGAGCGGCGAUGAUGCAAUCUUUGAAGCCCAUAAAGCAGAUGAGCCAACACGUUUGCACUUUCGCCUUGUACAGCCACGACAUGUCUCGCCAGAUCGAGACUCAUCACUAUGUGUCUAGACUCAACCAAGACUUCCUCCAAUGCGCCGUUUAUGACUCUGAUGACUCCACUGCCCGUCUCAUAGGUAAUUUAUUUAAAAAUAAAAUACCCACCAAACCCGUUAUUAAUUUAUCCUUUAGUUUAAUUUUGUGUAUUUUCAUAUUAUUAUUAUUAUACACGUCAGGAAUGCUUUAUUUACUGAUAUAUUGUGAAUGAAAUAUUGACCUCAAUUUGUAUGUAUCGUUACAGGUAGGGUACCCUCGGGGAUUUUCCCCAUUCGGGGAGGGUAUGGGGAUAAUUUCAUACCCAAUUUCUUAUUCGGGGAGGGGACGGGGAAAUUUUUUUACCCAAUUUCUUAUUCGGGGAGGGGACGGGGAUGAGGUGGAAUCCCCAUCCCCUACCCAUUUCCCCAUUUUAAUUUUUAAUUUAAUUUUAAUUUUUUAAAAUUAUUAGUAAAUAAAUUAUAAAAUUUAAAUUAUAAAAUUAUAAAUAUUGGUAAAAAUAAAAAAUAUCAAAAUAUUUAUAUUAUUAAACUUUUAGGCCUAAUUAGCUAAUUAAAGUUCUAAAUUUUUAUUUAGGACAUUAAAAAGACCGAGUAGAUUCUAUUAGCCAAACAUUUUUUUUUAAUUUUGAUAUUCUUUAAAUAUUUUAAACUUAAAUCUAUUUUUUAUUUAAUUUUAGAUGUUAUAAUUGUCCACAACGAAUCACAAUUUUAAUAUCUAAUCUAAUCUAAUCUAAUAUUUACUUUUAAUUUGCUCCGAUUUAACUAUUGUGUUGUAAAGGGAAUAAUUCACAUUUAUAAAGUGCCCACGCCACCAUUGAAAAAGUUAAUUUUGAAUCUAAAUUCGAUUUUAUUUGUAACAAUUUUGUAUUAGACUAUUAAUUUGUUCAUGAUAGUUUGUAAAAUAAGUUUGUAUCCCUUGCAUGUUGCGUUACUUACUAAUUUAAUGUAUGUGACUUUUGUAAUAAAUAUUAAUGUAAGAUAUAUUUCGAACUUUAUUUUUAUUUGAAUUUUUUAUUUUAAUAUGAUUAACUCAAAAUAAAAAAAAAUGUAUUAGUUAUUCGGGGAUCGGGGACCCUCGGGGAUCCCCUGUUAUUAUUCGGGGAGGGGAUGGGGAUUCUCUCAAGUAAUUCUGACGGGGACGGGGAGGGGAUGGGGACAUACGCAAAAUAUCGGGGAUGGGUACGGGGAGAUCGGUCCCCUCCCCUCCCCUCCCCAUUGCCAUCCCUAGUUACAGGAGUGGAGUAUAUUGUUUCUGAUAAGAUAUUUGAAGCUUUGCCACUGGAGGAGCAAAAGCUAUGGCAUUCCCAUGCUUAUGAGGUUAAUUAAUAAACUAUGUACUUAUUAUAGUAUUCCUUGCAAUUAUUUUUGGAUCAUUAUGUAAAAAAAGUAUGUGUGUGUGUGUGUGUGUGGCAGUAUUAAUAAAUAAUUAAUUGGAAUCAUCCAAUAUAGUUUGUUAAUUAAUCCAGGUGAAAUCAGGCCUAUGGGUUAAUCCUAGAGUUCCAGAAAUGAUAGGGAGACCGGAACUGGAUAACAUGGCGAAAACCUACGGCAAGUUUUGGUGCACUUGGCAGGUUGAUAGAGGUGAUAGGCUGCCACUGGGUGCACCGGCGCUGAUGAUGUCUCCACAGGCAGUGAACUUGGGCAUGGUGCGCUCAGACUUGGUUCAGAAAAGGGAUGACAAGUACAACAUAUCAACUGAUGCGUUGAAGCAAUCGAGGGUGGAGAUUGACGAGCCUGAAUGGAUUAGUCCACAGGCUGACUACUGGAAGCAGCAUGCCAAGGGCUUUGCCGUCGAUAUUCAAUCAAUCGAAAUGAAGAAGAGGGCACCGUUUCCUUGAGCUUCGCACAGCCACAGCCACAGCCGCAGCCUCAGCCUCAGCUUCUCUCUUUCAUGUUCAAGUGUUGUUUCGUUGCAUGUUACUCUAUAUUAGUCUUUUGUAAAAUCUGUGUAAACGUGUUGCUGCUUUUUUUUUUUUUUUUUUUAAUGUAUUUUCUGCUACGGAAGUCUGAACCUUCUGCUUUAUUUGUAUGUAUAUUUUGUAGCUUCCAUGUCAACACUUGGCGUUUGCCAUGUUUGUGGUCGUUUCCAUGUCAACAUUUUGGGUGUCUGCCGUGUUUGUGAUUGUUUAUUUCUUGAAUUUUUCAUGAUGGUAGUCUGUAGACACACUGGAAUUGCCAACGUACCUAUAAGGCUAUAAAUUAGCUUCUAAGAAUAUAAUUUCUCAGAGGUAGAUUUUUAUAAUUUAGAUUGGGUUAAUAAAAGUUCCAAGUUAUUGUUCCAAAUUAAUAUAUCCACAGUGCAUGGAUAUAUUAAUUAAAUAAACGUCCUAUUAAAAUAUGGCUUGAAAAAUUGAUAAUAUAAUACAGAAAUAAAUCUUCACUAUGUAAAUUUUUUUUAAAAAAAAACAAUACAUUGAAAUUAUGCUUAGAAAAUUUAAAAAUGGGUGUGUUACAGGAGAACUUUUUAAGAAGUUACUCACCUAUCUUCAUGGUACUUUUUUUUUUAAGUACUUUUUUUAUCGCUCCAUGUGUAUGCUAUUGAGUAUAGAGAUUUUAUUUGAUAUUUAAAAGUUUAGUUUUUAAGUUGUGGAUGCCGUAAAAAAAAUUAAUUAUAAAAUAAAAAUAAAUUACAUAUGAUUUUUAAUUUUUAUUAUAAAAUAAAAAUUAAUAAUAUAGAAUAAAUAUAAUUUUUAAAUAAUUAUUUUAAUAAAAAUAAUAACUAUUACAUUUUUACAUCAUAAAAAUAAUUAAUAUUUUUUAAAUUUUUAAUAAUUUUUAAUUUAUAACCGUCCAACCAACCAACCAACCAAUAUAUAGAUUGAACCAAAUCAACAUAAAUUGUGAGUUUUUCCAGGCAAUUCCUAUUCGGAGAAGCAAACCCAAUGCUAGUACUUGCGAAUUUAGGACUAUAAUUUAGUCGAUCUCGCAUAACACAUGGACGGCCAAGAUCAAGUCAGAGGAAUAAACGAAAAUGCCCUUAUUUACUCGCGCCGCAUGUGAUUACACCACUUAUUCAGAUCCGCAGCAUAUAUCCAGCCACGCGCCAACUGUCCCAUCUCGCCAAUGCCGCGGACACCUGGAGAUCCCCAGCAAAGAAAGCUGCGAAACUCAUAAUCAACUCACACUUCCCUCUAGACUGAACCGAACGCUUGUUGAUUUAUCUUAAUCAUUAAUGGAAGCCCCUGAAACGGUCGUAGUUGAUAAAAACGAAAAGGAUUUUUAUUCUGUGUGGGCGAUUCCACCUGAUGAGGUGAGGGCGAGGGUGAAGAAGUUGAUGGAGGGUCUGAGGUCCGAGUUCGGUGGGCCCCAGUUCGAGCCGCAUGUUACUGUUGUUGGGGCCAUGAGUCUGACGGCGGAUGAUGCGUUGGAGAAGUUUAAAUCAGCGUGUAACGGGCUUAAGGCGUAUAACUGUACUGUGGAUCGGGUGGCCACUGGGACUUUCUUUUACCAGUGUGUUUUUCUGCUGCUUCAUCCCACGCCUGAGGUUAUUUGUUUUCAUUUAUUUAUUUUGGGAAAACUUAGCAGUUUUUGAGAUCAUAAUGAUAAAUAUCGUCUUUUUUUUUGGGGGGUUUUUCAGGUGGCGGAACCUAGCUCACAUUGCUGUGGCCAUUUUGGUUACAAAUCCUCCACACGUUAGUUCUUGAUUUUUUUUUUUAAUUUUCGUUAAAACUCUGAUUUUUGACUGAGGCUAUUAUGUUAAAGGGCACCAUGAACGGAAUUUUUAGGUUUAAAUUCUCUGGAAAGGUGCUAAUAGAAGCUGCUGGUGUUUUCUUGGGCACAUUUUAGGAUAAAGAGACAUCUGAUUAUGUUAUAUUUGAGGAGAUAAAAUUCUUAUGAAUAUGUGACGGUGAUUUUAAUAUUUUAAGAGUGUAAAUGCCAAGACAUUUCUUGAAAGUUUGAAUAUCUCAAGUAACAUAAAAGCUAAACUGUUAUCAUUCUCUAUUGUAAUGUUAAUUUUGAGUCUCAUCUGGUUGUAAACACUGAGGGACAAUUUUAGUAUUGUAUGUUUUGUUCUGUAUCCUGAUAUUCAGGUCCCUAGAUUGACAGGUGCUACUUAACUAAGUCUUGAUUUCAAACUAUUUGAGAUUAGUUGCAUGAAUCAACUUCCUUCAGUCUGCAUUAUCUGGUGUAAUGUUUUCUAUUUGUUGGAAGUUGUAAUUUUCAGAUCCCAGAUAAAACAAGUACAGCAAACCUUUUCUGAGAGCUUUAAGAUGAGCUCUUUUUCACAUGACGUGGCACGUAUGUAAUAAUAUAUAGCUCUUGAGAUUUGUGAUGCUUGCUAAGACUAUGGAAAUGCUACGUAUUUAGACAACUCAUUAGGUAAUGUUGCUUGGUUGUAAUGGAUGUUUUAUGUCAUUUGAAUUUAUGUGGGAGAUUAGAAGAGUACAUGUUUUAGUUGAAGGUUGCAGUUGAUUGUGUGAUAUGAUUCAUUCCAGACUUGUAAUUGAUCUUUAACAAAGAUAAGUAAUGGCAUUUCAAUCAAAACUUUGAAAUGUUAAUGCACAGUUCUUGCAUAACCGAGAUAUUGUUUUGCAGCUUACAUGCCACAUUUGAGCCUCCUUUACGGGGACCUCACAGAUGAUGAAAAGAAAAUUGCACAAGAAAAAGCUCACAAACUUGAUGAGAGCAACGGCAGUUUGAGCUUCCCGAUCACUCGCCUUCAAUUGUGGAAGACAGACACAGAGGAUACCAGUCUCAAGUCUUGGGAGAGGGUUGCUGAAUGCAACCUGAGCCCAGAUUAGCUCUUUUUGAUUUGAAUAACUAGCAUUAUCUUUCUUCUUUUUUGUGUGUGUGUGUGUGUGUGUGGUUGGGGGGGGGGGGGUGUGUUUGUGGGUGGUGAUACUGAUCUGAUCUCGCCCAAUGAUGAGUGUAGUAUGCAAUAAUAAAGCACCCCAUCUCGUCCAUUGUCUGUUGUCAAUGAUAUUGGCUGUCUCCUCUUGUGUUAUAUAUAUGGCCGAUUGAAUAAUAGUGUAAAUGAAUCUUGAAAGGGUUUAGUAAAUCCAGUUCCAGUUGUCAUACAAAACUGUUUCGACAAUUUAGCUAAACAAGCUAUAGACUCUCUUAUGAGUUAUCAUUCAAUUGCAGCAGAGGAUUUUGCAUAAAAAUCGUGGAUUCAGACGUGUUUAGACUGCAGAUGAUGAGACUGAUACAACAACCUUGGGCGUUGUGCUUGGAUAUUCACUUACAUAACAGAGGCGUAGGUUGGAUGCCAAAUUUGUUACAACUACUCAGCUGCCUAUAACAUAUAGGCCUACUAAUUUGGGCUCAUUAUCAUCCAGGGACAUAUGAGCCGGAAAAAGGAAAUGCUAGGAAACUUGUGCGUAAAAAUGAGCAGCAAAAGUUUCAUCUGGGAAGUCGAAACUGCUAGAAGUUCCAUAUGAUUUUACCCAUUGUCACGUGUGGUAAAUUACAUUAGUCCUUGUUUCCAAUAGUCAACAGCAGCCUUCAUCAUAUAGGCCUACUAAUUUGGGCUCAUUAUCAUCCAGGGACAUAUGAGCCGGAAAAAGGAAAUGCUAGGAAACUUGUGCGUAAAAAUGAGCAGCAAAAGUUUCAUCUGGGAAGUCGAAACUGCUAGAAGUUCCAUAUGAUUUUACCCAUUGUCACGUGUGGUAAAUUACAUUAGUCCUUGUUUCCAAUAGUCAACAGCAGCCUUCAUCAUAUAGACCUACUAAUUUGGGCUCAUUAUCAUCCAGGGACAUAUGAGCCGGAAAAAGGAUAUGCUAGGAAACUUGUGCGUAAAAAUGAGCAGCAAAAGUUUCAUCUGGGAAGUCGAAACUGCUAGAAGUUCCAUAUGAUUUUAUCCAUUGUCACAGUGGUAAAUUACGUUAGUCCUUGUUUCCAAUAGUCAACAGCAGCCUUCAUUUGUUUCUGGGUGUUUAUGAGCUGGACUGGAUCACUGUUCUGUAUCGCUAAACCAAAUACUAGUCAAAACCCCACCCACACAAGUGACGCAACUCACAGUCUCAUCAGAUCAUAUUCCCUUCAAUGCUAGAGUAAAGAUAAGAUUUCAAGGUCAAGUAAUGCCACCCCAAUUUCACUUUGGUAGAUUGGACAUUAGUUUAUGAUUCAACAAUUUGUAAGGCCGCUUGCUUAAAGUGUUAGCAAAUUUGACUUUGCAUUAAAGGAAUGAAUCAAAUUUGGGUAUAAGCCAGCUUUGUUUAACUUGCAGAAUCAACGGAUAAUAAUUUUUUUUAACAUUAAUUCUCAUAAAAUGAUUGAAGGAGUUUCUUCCCCGUUUUUUUUUUUUUCAAGAAAAGAUAUUCCCUUAUCCAGUUGAUUAUGUGCAAAAUUGAUAUCUUUCAACUAUAUCAGCAAGUUGAGAGAUAAUUAAGAUAAGUAUCAAAGUUGCUGCACAUGACAAAUUCGGUCAACAGGUAAAAACGCAAUUAUAAUAAAGAAAAGGUUCAAUUAACUUUUAAAAGUUCACCAAAACACAGGAGAAAUUGAGCCAAAACACAGGAGAAACUGAACUUUACCAACUACUAAUCACGUUUUCUCCUAAAGUGGUAUGGACUGUGGUGCUGCCUACAAUCAUCUGAAACCCGCCAUGGCAGCCAGUAACUGCAUUAACGCCCUUUAACUGACAGCCUGGCCGGGAUGCCGUUAACCCUAAGGCUCACGUUAGUCAACUUCUAUUUACCUUUCGCCUGAUCCGCGUGCGCCGACAUCUUGUUCACGUGCUUUCCAUGCGCGUUGCCCACGAUUUUCCUCCCAAUUGAACGUUAAUACAUUCAUUUUUCACCAAAAUCGUCAACGUUACCAAACCCCUCUUUAACUUCAGGACACGCACAAGCACACUUAUUCAGAACAACGUUACUAAAAUCGUGAAGUGUGAUCUCUUCUUAAUCGUCUCUCUUCAAAUAUCUCAUAUUAUAGAUCUCCUCCAAUUCUAGUUUAAGCACAGUUUUAUUUUCAACAAUUAAAGAAAAAACAAAAGAAAUAUAUUCAGCCAGAGAGUAUGGAGACGAAGGUUCCUGUGAGGACGACAUUAUUGAAGCAGUCGUCGUUGGCGCCGGAUCGCGAGCGGAAGGAGGCGGAGCUAAACGGCUUAGAUGACGACGGUGAGGAAAUUAAACCGGAGUUCAGGCUGAUGUACUUAGCAAAUGAACGUGACGUGGAAGGAAUCAAGGAGCUCUUGGAUUCUGGCAUCGAUGUCAACUUUCGAGAUAUCGAUAACCGCACAGCUCUCCAUGUGGCCGCCUGCCAAGGCUUCACCGAAGUUGUUAGCUUGUUGCUCGAACGUGGCGCCGACGUUGACCCCAAAGACCGCUGGGGAAGCACCGUGAGUAACAAUGAACUUUCAAACCAACCCUGUCGUUUUGGUAAUUGAUAAUUGGUAAUUUUUGUUUUCAAAUUUGAUAAUCUAGUGUUGUUUAAACAGCCUCUUGGAGAUGCUAUAUAUUACAAAAACCAUGAGGUGAUCAAACUCCUAGAGAAACAUGGAGCAAAGCCUCUGGUAUGGAUUUCUUUUCUAGUUUAUGCUAAUGAUUCGAAAUUCUUCAUGUUCAUACAAAGAAUUUCCGUAUGCACUGUUUCAAGUUAUUGUGAAUUGAUAUUUCAGAUGGCUCCAAUGCAUGUUAAACAUGCUCGUGAAGUCCCGGAAUAUGAAAUUGACCCUCAUGAACUCGAUUUUACUAAUAGCGUUGAGAUUACUAAGGUAAUUUGUUGUUUUUCAAUAUUUGGAUAGCUGGGAAGUGAAGUUGUAUUUUAAUUCUAGUGAUUGAUUGGUUAGAUAAUGCCCAUAAAUAUGGUAAAUUUGAUUACAUAAUAAUACCUUACAGAAGAUGAAUGUGUAGUAAUCCAGGGGACUUACUUAUCAGAAGUGUUGUAAGAUGGAAUAUGAUAAUCUGCAUAGUUCUUUGCUGGAGGUUGACAUUGAUUACUAGUGGAGGAAGUUGAGUUGCUUUAUUCCUGGAAUUGUUUGUUUUAGCAAUGUAUCAGAAUACACAGGAGGGAUCUUAAGGUUAGAUAUUGCAAUGCAGGUCUCGCUUAAGGGGUUAUAGGAGAUUUGCCAAUUAGAGCAAGGUUAAUGCAAUUUUGUGAAAUAUGCUGAAAUGAAGGUUCAAGCAAGUGGAAGGCCCUAGCUGACAGCUUAAAGGAAUUUUUAUAAAGUUAACAUUGUUCAAAGAAGGAGGCAAAAGAGAAAAUACAUCAAAUUAAAUUCUCAAAAAUUUUAUUUGUCAAAUUGCUGAUGUUGAGGAAAUGAGGUUUUUUUUUUUUUUUCCCCUUCAGAAGUGUAGUGGCUCUGUUUCCGCUUGCCACUGUUUCAUCUUUAACAAAGUUAUUAUUAAUAUAUGCCAGGGGACAUUCAUUCUUGGAUUUUGGCGUGGAAUUCAAGUCGCUGUGAAAAAGCUUGGGGAAGAAGUGAUUUCUGAUGAUGAUAGAGUGUAGGUUAUUCGUCAAUUGAGAAAAUCUUUUGUUCCUUUUCUUGCUCUGACAACUUGUUUCUUCCUCUAUUUUUUCUCACUGUUUGCCUGUUCUCAAUCCGGUUAUUUUGUGCACAGGAGGGCAUUUAGAGAUGAGCUUGCAUUGCUUCAGAAGAUACGACAUCCAAAUGUUGUCCAAUUUCUGGGUGCUGUAACUCAAAGUAGUCCUAUGAUGAUUGUAACAGAAUAUUUACCGAAGGUCUUCCCUAACCCUUGAUUCACUGACUUUCAAUAUAGCUAUCCUGAUGAAGUCUGGAAUUAUUUCUCUUUGCUGAAUCUCUAACUUAUUUUUAACUUUUUUCUGUUGGGCUUUCAUUUUGCUAUAUUGACUUUUUGAUUUAGAAUAUUUUUGUUACCUGCUAUUUUAAGUUCUAGGAUAGUCAAUGUAAAAAGUAUUUCCUAAUUAUGGUUUCUGUUCAAAUUUUAGGUUCACAACAUGCCACAUAUUUGUGAAACAAUGACUUAAAUUGAAUCAAAUCGCUGGUGCUUUGAUUUUUGUGCCUAUAGUACUUAUCUUGUUUGUAUAGAAAGAAAUUUAGAGCUAAAGUAGUUAAAUCUCAUCAUGAAGCUUGGUUAUGUAAUUAUAUAUAUAUAAGUUUUCUUUCAUGUUGCAGGGAGAUCUUCGUGCAUUCUUGAAAAGGAAAGGAGCUUUAAAACCAUCAACGGCUGUGAGAUUUGCGCUUGAUAUUGCAAGGUAAUGUGAUGAAUUUUAGUUACAAAUAACAAGUUAGUUCUAACAGUAAAACUAUGAGCAAUACUAUUUUUGCAUUUGUUAUCUUGGUCUGAACCAUUCAUACUUCCAGCUUAGCUGAAAGAUUGUUAACCUGUCUUUAAUUGUAGAGGAAUGAAUUAUUUGCACGAGAAUAAACCGGUACCAAUCAUUCACCGUGAUCUAGAGCCUUCGUAAGUUCUUUUACAAUACGAUUUUGGUUUUUCUUACUCAAAAGUAAUUUGGUUGCCUCUGUUUCCUAAUAUUAUUAGGGACCUUUAUGUUGCUUAUUGGCAAAAUGACAGAAAUAUAUUGCGAGAUGAUUCUGGAAAUCUUAAAGUUGCAGACUUUGGAGUUAGCAAGCUGCUCACAGUUAAAGAAGAUAGACCUCUAACUUGUCAAGAAACUUCUUGUAAGUGCUGUUGCUUGUCAGAAUAUUUCAUUUAAUUCUUUUUUAAAGAAAAAAGUGUCUGAAUUUCCCAAUUGAGUUUCUUAUUUAUUUAUUCAGAGUAAAACUGAUAUUGUGACCUUUCAUUUUUAGUUGAAGGUACACUUAUUGAUUGUAAUUGAAAUGUGUUAUUUGUCACUGACAGGCCGGUAUGUGGCACCUGAGGUUUUCAAAAAUGAAGAAUAUGAUACCAAAGUAGAUGUGUUCUCAUUUGCUUUUAAUAUUGCAGGAGGUGAAGUUUUAUAAUCAAUGAGCAGUGUAUUUAAAUUACGCAAACAAUGUUGAUUAUUUCUUGCUUAAUCGCUUGUCUUUACACGUGAAAUUGUGUCUGGUUUUGAACCUUCCAUUGACAGUACAGAAUGAAAUCAAAUUCUUAUGAACAGUACAGGAGUCAUAUAUAUGAAACCUGAUUUGGUGUUCUGUGAAACCUUUUACCAUAUAUUAUGUGUAUGAGAUUGGCUUAAUAAUUGAUGCCUGUACUGGAUGUACACCAGAUGAUUGAAGGCUGUCCCCCGUUUACCAUGAAGCAUGACAAUGAAGUUCCUAAAGCAUAUGCUGCCAGACAGCGUCCACCUUUCAAAGCUCCUGCAAAGCUUUAUGCACGUGGACUCAAGGAGUAAGUCCUUGUUUCUUAGAUGUUCAUUGUAUUGUGAAUUUCUUCUUCCUUAGAUAUAGUUGUACACUAGAUUCCUUUAGUCAAUAAAACCAGGAUUCCCUAUUUCCCUCUUGUUGUUGAGAGCUAUAAUCAGUGAAUCUUGAUUUUAUUGUGUUGGUGGAUAUAGUUUAAGGAUAAAUGAAACUUUUGCUAACAUUUUCUGCUUGCAGGUUGAUUGAGGAAUGCUGGAAUGAGAAGCCAGCUAAGCGACCAACAUUCAGGCAAAUAAUAACAAAACUGGAAUCGAUUAAUAACAGUAUUAAUCAUAAGAGGCGCUGGAAGGUCUAUCUUUUUCUCUCUCUCAGUGUGUGUUUGCAUCUGUUUACAUGGAUAUCAAUCAUCAUCAUUCUAUGAUCUUACAUGCGAGCACCCUAACCCUUGGCCUUUUUUGAGUUGGAUUCUCAUUGGAUGAGGCAUGUGCCGCAUGUCAGCUAAUUGGGUGAUUUGUAUCAGUUGUUUAAAUUUACUUUAGUACCUUGACCCAUCCCUUGGGAACUAGGUAGGGAGCCAAUAGGCUUCUGUUUUAGGCUGCAUAAAUGCUUGAGGUAGUCACUAGUCACCAUUAUUAAUAUUAUAGAACUAAUAGAUCCCUUUUGUUAAUUUGUAAAAUGUACAGAUUAGAACAAUGAAAUGCUUUCAUAAUCUGGAAGCCAUGCUGAAGAAAGAUCAUUCCAGCCCCAGCAGCCGCAGCAAAUCAUCUCGUUCAACCAGCAGCAUCUGAAUAAUAGAUUGCCGUUUCCAUUAGCUUGUGAAUCUGCAGAAGUCAUCAACUCUCGUCAUGAAUCAAUAGUGUGACAAAAAGAUUGGGUUUUCAGGUGGUAGGAUAGCUGUCGCAUAGGUGAAUUCUGUUGUGGUAGUAGUCAAAUGAAAUUUCUUUUCCACAUUUUUGAGAUCUCCCUUUGAAAUUGUGGGCUGAGGAUAACAUUUCUACGGUGUAUUGAUUUAUCAAAAAUUAUAGCCAUAAGUGUACAUCAUGUGCAUAUGACAAACUAGACAUUCAUCUUUUUUUUUUUUUUGGAAAUAAUGAAUUUAAGAAUGUAUUGACUGAAAAGUUAACUCCGUUUGAUGAACUGCGACGAUGGGUUGAAACCAACGUGAGUGAAAAUCUCAUUGGUUGCAUUUUAGGCCCAGGUUCACUUGGGGGCCCAAAUGAUUUGAACUUGGAGUUGGAGUUGGAAACCUUCUUGAGAGUUAGCGGUCUUUCCUUCCUACAAUUGUAAGCAGCCCAACAGUGGCCGAAUGCACAGUCAUACAGCUGGCAAAUAAAAAAUCCAUGAUUUAAUCACUGUUUCUUUAAAAAAAAAAAGAAAAAAAGAUAUAUAAUGAGUCAUCCAGGUAUUUGUCAAAGGAUAAUUUCAUGGACCACAAAGUUGUAGGUGAGUUUGCGGAAGGUUUAAUAUCAAAUGAUCAAUAAUAUUAUUGACAAAUUUUUAAUUCAGUCCACUCUUAGUCGUGCGACUGACCAUAACACUCGUAGAAUUAAUGUAUUAUGCGCCCCCAGCUCAACUUUCUCUAGUCUUUCCCGACUUCGAAUUUCGGUUAAUCAAAAUUAUCGUUACUCUUCAAAUCUGAGUUUUCAAAGGAAGAAACUUUCGUCGCUUUUAUUUCUUGUAAUUUUAGCUUUCCUCUAGAGUUGAAAAGAACAUCCGUAAACUUCAAAUUCUUACUAUAUAUCUUGAAUUUUCAGGGAGCUGCUUGUGGAUAAAAUCAUCAAAUCUUUUUGAAAAAACUUCCUAUAAAAAUGACAAGUAAUUCACUUCCGGAAAAUGAAAUGUGCAUCUCACUUACACGAACAUUCUUUGGUUCGUGUCAUGAUAAUAUGAUUGGUGGUUUGUGGACCCAUUUGAACAAUAAAAGAGGAUUUUCCUCUAUAUAGGGGAAAACUUACAGCAAUCGGUGACUUUGGUAAUAAAGUAAAACAAGGAACUGGAAACUGGAAAAAGAAAUUCAUAAUUAUAACUGAAAACUUGUGAAAGUAGUUGUGUUGAUGAUUUGUCACCUGAAUUGUGACAAGCUGUGCACACAUACAUGUAUAUGUUGAAGAUGAAGCAAAAUCCAAACUGAAUUUUCUAAUAGCCGAAAAAGAACCACCAAAUCUAUAUUUUAUUUUAUUUUAUUUUUAUUUCACUUUGAUCUAAAGAAGGAAAAAGAACUGCAAGACUUGGGAUUCAUCACAACCAGCUUUUGCUUCUUCAAUGAAAAUACUGUCACCCGCAAGAGUAGAUGCUCUAAAUGAGAGGUAGCAAUUUGUUAUAAGUGUAUGCAUUCAGCCCACUGAAGAUAGCAAGCAGUACACAAUUCUCUCUCUCUCUCUCUCCCCUUCUUUUAUUUUUUGAUAUUUGAUAGACUCACUCUCUUUUUCUUUUAAUUUAUAUUAUUGUGCUUUAAAUAUUUAAAUUAUUUCUAAAAGAUUCAUGCGAUGGACUGAUGCUGCAAUUUGGAUAACUUGGCGAAUUGACCCAGAUUAAUUAAAUCAAAUCGAAUUUCAAAUAUUUUUUUUUAAAAAAAAAAAUUACCCAAUUUAUGAAUUUACCGCCAAGAUAUUCAAUGUAUCUCAAACAAUAAAACAAACCUUAGAAUGCUCUCAAAAUUAUAUCAUUAAUAAUAAGUGAAUAUACUAUCCUUUUAACCAAUCUCAUAAUGCUCUUUGAAUUAUUUUACACAUUUAGGGAUGCAUCCAUGACAAAUUUUUGAAAAGUCUGGGGUUACAGAUUCUAGAUUAGGAAAUGGCACUGCUUUACAUUGUGUGAGAUAGGGCCACAACUUUGCUUCCUUUGCUGGCAAGAUCUGCGAUUCCUUGGUGUAUUUUGGUUGUGGCCAUUAUUGUAAAUUAGGUAAAAAUUUAUUUAAUCCCUAUAUUUUAAAGUUAGUGUCCUAUAUUGUAAAUUGGUCAUCUAUAUUUUGAUGUUUUGAUAUACUUUUAAAAAUACAUGCACUAAUUGGACAUUAACCUCAAAAUAUAGGGACUAAACAAAGUCUCACCAUUAUAAAUUUCAGCUUUGUUAAUUUGCUCGCUAAUAAUUGUUACAAAUAAAUUCAUGCGCUUGCCUCAGGCCUCAGCACACACCUCCUGAGAGAUUGAAACAAGACCUUGUGAAAGCAAAUUAAUCACAGUUGACUUGUGUGAUGAGGAUUAGUGAAAUAAAAAAAUUGCCCCAUCUGGGUAUUUCAAAAUGCGCACGGCAAAUUGCAGCUUUGUUGUCUUAACUCGCGGGAAUGAUUCAUAUGAAAUCAAGUAACACUCAUAAUCAACAUGUGGGUGGUGUGUAUAUUGCAUGAGGACGUGGCCAUGAAAUGUACAUUAGUCGGCUAUAAUUCAAAUGGUCAUGAAACUCGGAGUCAUUUCCAACCACAACUGUUCAGAAAAAAAAAAAAAAUUGUGAUUACGCAUACAAACCAAUUAAGGGAUGAGGGCUACCCAUGCUAGCCCUUUGCAGCCAGCCGUAAAAUUUGUUGUUAUUUGUGACAAAUCGAACACUAACUUGAAUGGAGCUUUUAAGGUUAGUAGCUGCCUCAACUUUAACAGAAAGCAAAAUCAUUAACUGAUUAACACAAGGAGAAUUGUUCGUUGUGAAAGGAAUCAUGAACAUUAGCAAUGUGUAUAAUUCGCCAUUGACCUUGUUAAUUUGAAGAAAUUGGAUUCCGAUAAAGUAUAUUAGCUAGGACUGUGAGUGGGCAAGUUGAGAUUCCAUGGGAAAUGAAGCUUUCGGUAUUGACAAAAGUAUGCAUGCGAGCCCCCACACGAAAAAUAUACAUCAUAUCAACAUUUAAAACAUGAAAAUAGAGCCUCUAAGGAUGUGGUCGGGUUGGUUGCAAUGUAACUGUAACAUCUAUUAAAAUCCGAGUUUGAUUAUUGAGGCUGGUAAAGAGGGUAAAAACUGUAUUUAGACUUGCCCAUCCCCUUACCUUUAAAAAAAAACAAAAAAUGGAAGCAUGCAAGUUAUCUUAUACCUUCAAUUUAUACAUAAUACAUUAUUCAGCUGUUUAUACAUAAUACAUUUAUCAGCUGAAUCGAGGCUAUAAAUAACAAUUUGGUUUUUUCCCUCCUAUUGAUCUUUGUUAAUUUCAACGCCCCCGGCCCCUCCCUACAAAUCAUCGAGACAAUCCAACCAUUAGAAACAUUGUUAACUUCCUUUUUUUUUUUUUUAUUGUGGUGUCUUAAAUAUUUUUAUCCUUAGAAAUUUAUAUUGGUUAAUUGUGAGUUUUAUGAAUUCAAGAGUCAAUUAUAAAAGACCAAAAAAAAAAAAAAAAAGACACGAAGAGAGAAAUAAUUAAUUUACUGAAAUAAUCUCGUGGUGGGUUUGAUCAUUUUUCAUUUUCAAAACUAUGUAGAUCGUUUAUGAGCAAGAUAAUACAGAGCCUGGCGUGGAGAUAAAACAUGAAACAAAAAUGAUUUAUAGAAGUAAGCUGGCUUCGUCGAUGAGAAGGUAAGCAAAACAAUAUUUGACAUCUUAUUGCAUGCCGAAUUGACUAAUAAUGGCAGAAUAUAUAUAUAACAAGGAGAAGAGUCCAAACUAUAACGCAGGUUUAGUUAUUUUGUUUAUGAUUGAGGCUAAUAGCUAGCUAGCUACGUAUUCGUUGGGUUUAUGUCUGUCAAAUUAUUGACUAGCCAUCGCAUGUAAUUCAAGCUUCAACUUGUGUGUUUUCUUUUCGGCCGCAAUAAAAUUGUUUGUUUGACGAUAAAUGUCGGCGAGUUAAUUACGUGGCACCUCUAAGAAUUUAACCAACUUUUUCACUAUCGAACCAAUAUUUAAUUUUAUGAUCAUAUUUAGACUAUUGGCACCCCCCCCCCCCAUAAUCCUCUUUAAAUCCUUUUUCAAUAUUUGCAACUUUAACCUUAAUUGUGAUUACAAUAUUGAAUGAGAGACUAUAUAUCAAACUAAACCUACAUAUUUUAUAUACACACACAUACAUUACUUUUGUAGUAAAAAAAUCUUUACACAAUCAAAUAUGUUGUAUGUAUUUUUUUUAAUUUUUAACACUCUUGUUAUAAACUCCCUUUUAUAUAUAUUUAGCCCUAAAUUAAAUACAUUGCUUUUAUUAACUAUUUUUAUACCAAGAGUGAGCAAAAAAGAAUCAUAAAUUUAUAUAAAUAAAAAAAUCUGAUGAAUUUUUUAAGAAGUAAUUGUUUUGUAGGAAAUCUUAAUCACCUUUUUUUCUUCAAAUAACACACAGAGAGAGAGAGAGAGAGAAACUCCAUGGAUAUUAGGUGUGAACAAUAAAAAAGAAAAAAAAUGAAACAUUAGAUUUGAUAAAGAAUAAUUUUAAUUAAAACAAAUUUUUUUGUUAAAGGGUGUUAUAUAUUUAUAGAUAUUGAAAUGAGAAAAAUGAAGAAAAUGGUUUUAAGAAAUAUAUAUAGCCAUAUAGGGGUGCCAAUGUUCUGACUCUUAGGUAGCGUUUGUUUUUUUUAUUUGAAAUCUAAAUGAGUCUAAAUUUUUCUGAAGUCUGAAUAUGUUUGAUUACGAAAAUAUGAAUGACAUAUUUAUUUUUCUUUUUUAAAUAUCUGAAUAAAAGUGGCAUCUUAUUUGUUUUCACAAUAAAAAAAAUCUUAAAUUUGGUCAUUUGAAAUGUAUGUCCUUAUAAAUUAAAACAAAAAAGAGGAUUAAAUUUUAUAUUUAGGAAAUAAACUAUUUUACAAAGAUAUUUUUAAAAUAUAAUAUUUACUUGUCAUUAAGACCUUUUUCAUUCAGAUAAAAGUCACAAAUAAUUACUUUUUCUAUUCAGAUGUAAAUAUAUGAAAAUCAGACAUAAGUUUCAAAAAAUAAACAAACAUAUUUCAGAAAAUAUAUAAAAUAAAUAAAAUUUCAGACUUAAAACAUUUAACAAAACAACCUUUAGUGUGUGUGUAUAUAUCGUAAGAAUGGCAUAUAAGAAACGUAUCGGCAAUGGAACCCACUUGUGCAUUUGUUGUGUGGAGUUUGCUGGCCAUAUUUUCCUUAUUAGCACUAUUUUAGCUCAAUCACAACUCAACUCAAUUUAUUGUCUUAUGCUUUGAAUCUUGAUCACUACAUUAAAGAAUCACGUGACUGAUGGAACAACUCCACAGAAUGAUCCAUUUCCCAUUAACCUUUUAUGCUUAUGACCCUUUGCUUUCCUUUUUUACACACCAUUUAUCGUGGAAGCUUUUAAUCAAGCUUCCGCAUUUUGAAUUUUCGAUUAAUUUCAGAACUUGUUACUGUGCUUUGAUAGUUUGAUUUAAUUGUUUAAAUAAUGUUAAAGAUCCUAAUAUCUGGAUCCUAAUUUAUAUACUACUGAUAAUUUAUAAAUUAAAUGAUAUAAUAAUAAUUUUACGACUUAUAAAAAUCACAUUUAAUAAAUAAGUGAUAUAUGAGGUUAAUUAGGGUAGAAAUUGAGACUUAACAUUCCCUUCCAUUAUUAAUCGUUAACUGUUCUCCUUAAAAGGGGUUGAUUUGGAGGGUCAGCACUUGGUCUGAAGCAACAUAUAACUCAUCAAUGUUGUAGUUGCAACUUGCAAAAUCAAUUACUCUAUCACAUGGUUCGUUCGUUAGUUUCUCAGGGUUUUGCUUAUUUACCGCAUCAUCGACAAAAGUUUAGAGCAAAGGGAAACCCCCCAUUCAGUCCCUUAUUUUUGGUUUCUCAUUUACUCAGAUUGUCAAAAAUACUUAAAUAUUUAUCUAUCAAUUGAAAGAUUUUGUUAAAAGUUUACCAUUUUUUCCCCACGUUUUCAUGUUUCAAAUGGUCUGUGAGUUUCCUUCUUUUUUUUUCCCCCUUUUCGAUAUUAAUUGAUAUGAUGAGAAAGGUGACGUUUAGCCUUCAAAUAUAAAAUCUAGAUGUCAAUUUUCUAGUAGUCGAUAGGUAUUAAGGUUUUUUUUUUAAAAAGAAAAUUGGAAGUCAAAGUAUGAAAAGUUCCAAUUAUGUACAUGUCUGGACCUUUGAACACUACUUAUCACUCCGUAAUGGAUUAACAGAACUUGGAACCACCAUUUUUAAGAGGCAGAAAAUUCAUCAAGCUCAAAAGCAGAAGUCCCCAUUUCGGGGGUUUCUAACGUGAGGGUUUAAAAUGUCAUCAAUAAUCAAUAAGAUGAUUAAUUAACCUGUUUGUUUUAUCAAGAACUACCCGGGGUAAAAAGAAAAAAGAAAAAAAGACAAGCUAAUUAAGUAUACUAGUAAUCAAGAAUCUCUUUACACAGUAUAUUGUGAAAAAUAGUAGGUGAGUUGAGUGCGUUGGUUUACUUGUACAUACAAAGAUUAUUUUUAAGGAUCACAAUGACAAUGGCCAUGGCGAUAGUGACUAGCCACGAAGCAUUUAAUGAAUUAGGUCUUGGCAUUGAAGCUGUGAACCAUCCAGCAUCUUUCGAAGGUCUAUUGUUGAAAAUCUCAUCUUAUUUUGUGGUCCCAUUCAUAAUCAAAGAGAAUAUAUAUAUUGGUUUCGGAUGUGACUUGUUGAUGCGCGUACUUUCCUUAGUUUUUCCUCCAUAUUAUUAUGAUCGAGUGUACAAAGUAACAAUAUUAUUGACCUUGUUAAUUAAUUACUUUCUUAAGGCAUACACACCUUGGUAAUAAAGUCAUUCAUUCUUAAUGUUGAUAAUCAAGAAAUAGUAUUUCCUUUUUCUGCUAAACAAGUCAAAAACCCUUGGCUUUGGAUUUUCAAUUUGUCCUGACAAUUUCCAUGAAACACAAGGGAAAAAAACAGGAACCAGUAUUAAGGUUUAAGUUCGACCGUUUCUUGAAGUCUUUUAAGGACUAUGGGUCAUUCCAACUCACUUAGGAAACUUAUUUCGCAUAUGGUUAACACUUAAUGUGCGGUCGAAAUAGAGAGAGAGAGAGAAGAAAUUGGCUUCCAACCCACACAAAGAUUUCCCUUUUUUGGUAAAUUUUUAAUUGCUACGCACCUUUACCGUUCAUGUCGGAUACUUUUUGAAUUUGAGCUUUAAUUUUGAGCCACUACAUGCUUAAGCUUAUAGCUCAUGAUUUCCAAAUAAAAACAAAGGAAUAGAUUUUGACCAUAGAUCAAUAACAAUAUAUGCGUGUUAAAAAAAAAAAAAUCAAUAGUUUUUUGAAAUGAUAAAAUUUCUUUUCGAUUGUAAUGACCUCAUUGGAAUAUUUUUUGUUUUUGUUUUUUGACAAAUUUCUUGGAAUCUUUCUUGUAAAUCUCAAAGGUUAAGGAACGCUUUAUGAGAUUUUUAAAAUCAAUCUCUGUCUUUCUCAAUUUUAGGCAAAAAGUAUUUAUAUGACUUUCUUGUUAGGAAAAAUGAUAGCAUGCUUACACUAAGGAAAAGAAAAAUGAGAAAAGAAAAAAAACGACGUCCCUCUUGAUAUACUCGAAACAAUUUACCACAAAAGACAAGUCUGAGGUGUAGGUAUAUAUUUUCGUAUGUUACAUCUUGCAAAAUUAAUUGAAACACAUAUAAUUCAGCGGUAAAACUUUCUAUAUAUUUAGUUGUACAAAGUGUGAUAAAAGCACAGUACUAAUUGCCCUCAAAGUGGUCCUCUUAAGAGAUAUGGGGAGAUUUUCUUGUUGUGAACCCAUUAAGAAAAUUUGACUGAAGAGACCAUCCACAAUUAUAUCAUUAAUUGUCCUUUCUACUUUCAAAAUAAUCAGAUUCAGCCUCAUAGCUAAUUGUAGUAAAAGAGUUUUCAGAAAGUCCAUAGUCUAAUGACACACCAAGAAAGAAAAUUUAAAAACGAUCAUCUAAAUUGAUCUUCUUAUUGCCAAAUGAACAAGCUUGAAUUUUCUAAGAAGAUCGAUCCUAUUGUGUCAUCUUUUUACCACGAAUUUAAGCAUAUGAAAUUACGCACGAAAUUGCACAGAAUUUGUUACUAUGUCUGCGUCACAAAUAUUAGCCCUAGCUAGGUGAAAUAACUACGCUUAAUUAACGUGUUUCCUGUAUAGUCACAAUAAUCGCGGAAAAAAAAAAUUCAAAUCAUUAAGAGGAAAAAAAAAAUCUUCAUAUUAGUGAAACCACUUGAAUCAACGACUUCAAAUACGACCCAAAAAAUUAAAUUGUUUGACAAUUGCUUGUGUAACACUUGCGUCAUUGCUUGUGUUACGGAAAUUUGAUCAAUAGAGAACCAUAAGGCGGCUGACUAUGUGUAAAGAAUUUGAAGACGUUUGAGUGUGAAUGCUAUUGCCACGCAUCAAUUAAUUUUUGACUACUUGAUCAAAUGAUAUAUAAAAUAUCAAUGUAUAUAUGAACCAUGGACUUGAAUCAUGUAUGCGUGGUUCCAUGUCCAUAGGAAACACUAUAUCACUCAUAAUGAUCGCUAAAAAAUGACUAAUCAUUCCAACAUUUAACAUGUAAUGUCAAGGUGGGUAUGCAAAAAGUGACCUGUCCUUGAGAACUAUUAAGUGACGUCUGGCACGAGGUAAAGCUGGGAGAGAUAAUCAUUAGUUCAAUGUUGAUCCAAUCGAAUUAAUUAAAGAGAGCGUGAGGUGACAGAGGAAUAUUUGAGAAGCAAUGCUAGUUGGUAAAGUCAGUAAUUCUCAUUUGAGCAGUGCAUAUGAUUGCCAAAGUAUAAAUUAAAGCAGGAAACAAAAAAUGAAAGAAGAAGAAAUAAGUUAAUUAGAGCACUAAGUGGGAUUGGCAUUGAAUCAUGAAACGGAUGAACAAACCCGUCAAAUCUAUGGCUCUCGCACAAUACUAAAAUAUUGAAAAAAAAAAUACUAAAUGGUUGUGGUUCUGUUGGCAGUGCAGGCUGAGUUUGUGGGAAGAGCUCUCGGGUUUGAGAGGGGUAAAGAGUUUUAACUGUGACUGCACUAUGAAUUCGGAUCAGUCGGGACCUAAUGCAAUCGCUGGAUACCGAAUGGCUUACACCAAAAAAAAAUAUUGAAAAAAAAAAGAGAAACAAUUAAUUGAUUCGUUGAUUGCCAAAUGCUUCUUCUACAACUACUAUAAAUGAGUUAAACAGUAUAAGGAGAUGAAUGCUAGAUGCAUCACAUGGAGUUGCCUUCACUUUUGUCAUAACCCACGAGUCACAACCCUAGUCCUAGUAAAACAGUCAUGCUUUCAAGAAGGUAAGAAAAUUGAGAGCUGAAGAGAAUAAUGGAGCCUUUGAAGUGUGAGUGGGGCCUAAUUCUAAUAAAGGAAAGAGGUCUUAUUGUAUUGAUUAUACCUUUGAGCAAUUUUGUACAAAUAUAUUUUUCUUAUAUAACAUUUAUCAUAUCGCCAUUGCUAAUUAUUUAAUAAUUAAAUAAAUUAUUCUUUUAUAUAUAUUUGUAUGUAUGUAUUUAAUUCAUUCAUGGAGUCAAAAAGUGUAAGUAGAAAACAAUAUUAAUUGAAAAUGGCACUAUUCAUACAAAAUAUUUCUAGUGAGGCACAAUGGGAAUUGAAACUAUGAGAAGAAUAGAUCCAUUAAGCACACACAAGCUUGAAAUAGUAAUAAAAAAAUAUAACAAUCUAUUAAAAGUUGAUUGUGCGAGUUCAAGGUAUGUAUGCAAAUAGGUUCUAAUUAGGAUUGAUGUUGAAACACUAUAAGUGACUUAUUU